AGAAAAUUAAUAUCACUCUGAAUAUAGAUAAAUAUAAUAACACCAUCACUUUAUUAUUAUUUAUUAUUGUAGUACAUAUCACAAGUUCAAAGCUACACCAUCACAUAUAUAUCGUACACACAAUAUAUAUAGUGAUCAAGCUUUUUUAUUUAAGAAAUACAAUACCUUAUGGAUGGUUUUAGUUUAUUUGAACUUAACAAUUAUUCGGGAUGACAACAUUACAAGCACUAGCAACCUCUCUAGCUCUAGGAGAGUUAACAUAUUGACUGUAAUCUGGGUCUCUGAUGUAUUCACAGAAGCAUGGGGUUUGCUCCCUCAAUUUGGAGCAACAUUCAGCUGAAGGUGUAGAAUUGAAAAUAAUUGCCCCAGCACAUGGGAGCAAUUCAUUUGGGUCACAAUUCUGAGCCUCAGCAAUGGUAGCCACUUCAACCAUAAGCACUACCAUAAGCAUCAAUGCACACACAACCUUCAUGUUCAUCAUUUUCACUACUUGAUUUCUAAUUAGCAAGUAAUUGGACAAAUUUUAGAGUGAAGUAUACUUGAUUAUGGCUAUGUAUUUAUAAGCAUGGAAAAUUACAAUGGCUAUAUGGUUUGUUAAUUGCGCCUUAAAUGAAUUAUUUAGCCGGUCAUCUGUCAAUACGUACACUUUUUUUUUAUUUUUAAUAUUUUUAAUCAUUUAAUAAGAAAAUUUAUAAAAAAAUAAAAUAAAAAAAAUAAAAACUGAUAUUUUGAAAAUAUCUUUCAAGAAAAAUUACACAACUUCUUAUAUGUUUUUUUUGGCUAAAGUGCACUUUUACCCCCCCUAACUUUCAAAAACUUACAAUUUUGACCCCCUAAGUACAAAAACUACAAUUUUGGCCCCCUAAGAUUUAGCCCCAUUGCAAAUUUGAUCCUUUUGGUCAAUUUUGACAUAGUCAACGCAUGCGUGGCAUGCCACGUGUGUAAAUAAUAAAUUACAAAAAAAAUAAAAUGUCAUAAAAUCAUUUUAUAAAUUAAAUAAAUAAAAAAAGAUAUUAAAUUAUAAAAAAAAAAAAAUCAGAAAAAAAUUAAAAUUAAAAGGAAGGGAAAUGAAAAAGGAAGCAAGGUGAUGAACUCUCGCCGGAUCUUAUCUCCGGAAAGAGUCUCCCCCCUUGGAAGACGUCGCCGCCGUUCCCAAUGACAACCCCUCCUGAUACAACUUCGCCACCGUCAAGAUCUUGUAGCUUUCGUGCACCUUCCUUGGACGGGCAAAAGUUAUGGUGCAUAAGUUAUUUCCUUAUGCACCGUGCAUAAACACAUCACAACCAUCAGAUUUCUUUUAUUUUGAAUAAAAAUGGUUUUGGUUCACUUUGGGGGUGUAGGAAGCAAUUAUGUUGAGAUUUAUGCACGGUGCAUAAGGAUUUCCUUAUGCACCAUAACCACUCCCCCUUGGACGACGGCCGCAUUCUCGUCGAUUAUAACAUCCGGAACAAAUCCACUCUCCACCUUGCUCUUCGUCUUCGUGGUGGAGCUAAGAAGCGUAAGAAGACCUUCACCAAAAUUUCUCACAAUCGGGUCAACAUGAAUCUGGGUCGGGUCGGUUUCUGGAACUGAAGCUGAAACUUUUGCUGCUGAAGAAGUGGAUGAUGUUGAUGGAGAAGAUGAAGAUGGUGUUGUUGAACGUUUAGAAUUUGAUGAACGUUUUGUAACUUUUCUUGUUCCAACACCAACUGGUAUGUUCCUUAAAGCACCACCUUUUGCCCAAUAUCUUUUGCAAUGUUCUUGUUCUGGAAAAUUUGAUUUCAUGGGUUGAAAUGUUGUUGGGUCUUGCAUUUUUAUGUCACUAAAAGGUAACAACUUGAAUAAAAAUAAAACUAAAAAGUAACAACUUUGAUUAGAAAAUGAAUACAAUUUUGUGCCUUUUGAAUUAAUUUUUUUUUUGAAGAUUGUUACGAAGACAUGAAAAUUGAAGAUUAAAGGUUUUUUAUUCUGGGUUUGGAUUGGAAGAGAUGACAAAUGAUGAAUGUGUAUUAUUUUGGAUUUUAUUUUAAAUUUUUUCUGAUUUUUUAUAUUAUUUAAUAUCUUUUUAUAUUUAUUUAAUUUAUAAAAUGAUUUUAUUAUUUUUAAUUUUUUUAAUUCAUUAUUUACACGCGUGGCAUGCCAUGCAAGCGUUGACUAGGUCAAAAUUCCCAAAAGGAUCAAAUUUGCAAUGAGGUUAAAUUUUAGGGGACUAAAAUUAUAGUUUUUGUACGUAAAGGGUCAAAAUUGCAAAUUUUUGAAAGUUAGAGAGGGGAAAGUGCACUUUAGCCUUUUUUUUUUACAAAGACAACAUCUUAUAUGUUAUUAUUUGUGUUUAUAUAUUAGUAGAAAAAGUUAGUCAAAAUAUAUAAUAUGAAUAAUAUAUUUCAUUCUAUAUUAGUUGUUUAGGACGAAAGGAGUACUUUUUAAAAACAAAACUAGUGUACCUUCCUUCUUCAUAUGUAAUAUCAUAGGUUAAUCAUCUCAGUUAACCGAGAUGUACUCUCUCCGUCCUUUUUUAUAAAUAUCCUUUGACAUUUUUCACAUAUGUUAAACAAAAUUGGUAGUGUAAUCAGUGUUUGCAUCUUAUAUAUUAUUUUUACUAAAUUAACCUUUGCGUAUAGAUAGAUGUAUUUACAAUUGACUUUUCAUAUUUAAAAACAAAGUACUACUAUUGAUUGAGACUCUCUCUCUCUCUCACACUCAUUAUAAGGUUAAUCUUUCUUCUCACGGGUGCUAGAUUUGAAUAGAGUACCACAACGUUGAAAAGUGAUCUAUCUACCAAAUCGGCGAUUCAGAAAACUGACUUUAAAAGAUUAAUCUUUGCCUAUAUAUAUUUGAAUGGACCAAUGAUUGUCCCUUCAUCACAUAAAUUUCAUCUCUAGAUCAUCAAUUCAAAAUGAGAAGUUCAAAACCUGCCAAACUUGUAUUUAUAUUAUAAUUAUUUUAAAAACAUAUAUACUUUUUUUUAUGAAAUGUUAACUAAAAACAUGUGAAACCCAAUGCAUUUCCAUUUCUUGAAAAUGAAAAAAAAUUGGCACAAGGUUUUGGUUCCAUCCCCCUUUUUUUUUUUGUACUCUUUUUAUUUGAAAUGAAUUAAUGCACUUGCAUCAUUAUCUAGAAAAAGAAAUUUUAAUAAAAAAAUUAAUUCAACAUUUUUUUUUAGUUUUCAUUAGAGUUAAUCUUAUUCGAGUUAUAGCGAACACUGAAGAUAGAUACUUCUCUAAGCUGGGAUUAUAAAUAAUUUUAAAUAAUAAAUUAUCAUAAAUAAAAGUUGAUAUCAUUUUUGCUUAAACAAAUAAAUUUAUAAUAAUUAUAAAUAUUUUCAUUUAGAUAACUUUAUUUUACUUAUAGCCUAACUAUAAAUACUUGUAAAAAAAAAUACUUUAGGACCCAACAGGACAAUCUUGUUAACUAUCAUAUAUAAUUUUUAAAAUAAUUAUAAUAUUAACUUAGUUAGUAAGGACAUUGUAUAAUAUAGGCAGGCGUCGAUGUUCGAACUCCAUACAUCUCAUUUAUUCAUUUUUAAAAUGAAUUUUUAACCAUUAGAUUACUUAAUAAAAAAAAAUUGAUAUUAAUAUAUCUUUUAGGGUUAAAUAUAUUUUUGGUCCCUAUAAAUAUACCAACUUUAUGUUUUAGACCCUCUAAAAAAUUUCUUUGAUUUUUAGUUCCUCAUAAGUUUUCCAUCAUCACUUUUGGUCCUUCCUUUUGAGUAAACUCAUAUGUAUAAUUCAUAUUUUUUAAUAAAAAAUUUCAGAAAAUAUUAUAAGAAACUAUCCAAAAAAAAUAGAAUUUUUGAACAAAACAUGAAUUAAAUACGAAUUUUUAUAUUUUUGGUGGUUAAAGUUUCAUAUUUAAUUCAUAUUUUGUUGAAAAAUUCUAAUUUUUUUAGAGAUUUUUACUAUAUUUUACACAAUUUAGUUAAAAAAUACAGUUGCUAUACAUAAAUUGACUUAAUAAUAGAGACUAAAAAUGGUGAUUAAAUUUUUAUAAGGAUUAAAAGUCAAAGAAAAUUUUGGAAAAAUUAAAAUAAAAAAUUGAUAUAUUUAUAAAAAUGAAAUACAUGUUUGACGGUAUUUUUUAUAUCAUGUUGGUUUUAGCACGUUUGUUUGACAAUUUGUAAAAUAGUAUAGCUAUAAUAUAGCUACUUUUAAUCGUACAUGAAUUUACGGUAUUAGCUUAGCUAUUACUACUCCUACAUGGUCGUAGACUAUACCAUACGAUCGCUGUUAUAAAUAAAAAUUAAAAUUUUAGAUUAAUUCAAUUAAUGAUGUUUAUGAUAUUUAUCAUAAAUCACAUAUAUUAUUUAAUGAAUAAUUUUUUUUACAAAAUUUAAUGAAUAAAUCUAAAAGUUGAUUUUUUUUUUUAAAAUAAUGACCAAGUGGUGUAUAUUGGUAGAGAGUCAUCUGGGGCCCACAGUACUUUGAGUUUGGUUUGAGUUUACUUGUAGCUCUUGAAAAUACAGAGCAAAAUAAAAGAAUUCUCUUUUAAUUAUGAUAGUAUCCGUAAAUCGCACGGCUAAGUUUAUAUGAGAUUAAUUAUUAUAAAAUAUGAGAUAUAUUAUUAAAAUCAUAGGUGAUUCAUCCCGUACAAAGUGUGCCGAAAGUUAACCCCUAAAAAAUUACAAGGUUAUGAUGGAGCGGGUGCCUACAACAAAUGACACCGGCUUCUUGAAGAACAAUAAAUUACAUAGUAACACUCAUACAAAGGAGCGGGUGGCGCCACCAUUCAUGGUAGCUAAAAAUGAACAAAGCAUUAUUAGAUUUCAGCCAAAGGAACGAAUUCAGCUUAACUUUAUCAAUGAGAGCAACAGGAUCAGAAGCCACGUAGUUGAAAAUACGGUCAUUCCUCUCUUUCCAGAUUACCCACACACAAGCAAGCCAAAUUACUUUGAAGAAUGGAUAAGAAGAUCGAGGCAUACCUGCCAUAUGAGUAAACUGAAUAAAAUGUUCACCAAUCUCACCGACGACAACAUGAGAAAUGUCGAGCCAUUGCCACAACAUAUUCCAAAUGGUACCAUAGAUAUCGCAUGCAAGAAAAAGGUGAUCUGCCGUCGAUGUAAGAUUUUUACAUGUCAUAAAACCAUUUACACGUAAGUAUAAUAGGAUCGUUUUUGCAAGGGGUUGCGCAUUUCAUAAGCAUUUUCACAAUAUUUGUCACAUUAAGUGUUUGGGUAUAAAUUGUUUGUUUGUGUGAAACUAUUUUCCUAUUCGACAUAAAAGUAAAACGAGAAGAGAUAGGGCUAUUUCGCUUGCGGUCAGAAACAUCAACCAAGCGUAACACCUGCAAUCUCUCGAUCGAUUAACGGAUUCUAGCUUUUUAAACGAUAUUAACACAAUCAUUUGACAAUAUCAUUUGUGUCCAAAUGAUAUCGUUAUUUUUAAGAGGUCGUUUAAACAUCGAUUCUCCAAACAUUUAAACAAUAAAAAAGUCGAUUGAAUAGUUUAAUCGACGAUUUCCCAAAAGCAUUAAGUUCUAGAUUAAAAGUGAUUAUCAAAUACUAACAUCCAUGUCUAGAUUGAUAACUUAAGAUAGAUUGUUAUUCUAGUUCUAGAUUCAAAAGUAUGUGUCCAUAUCAUUUUGAAUCUCAAUAAAACAAUAAAAGCAAGAAUAACAACAAUAUUGAAUAAAUAGCUAGAACCAUAUAUUAAAUGAUCAAAAGAUUACAUAAUAGCCUGUUCGAAUACCUCAAAACCACAAGAGUAGAUGUAGCUAGAUAUGUUUAUGAUAGCUUUGUAAAGGAUUAAGAAAAGAUGAAGAUUCCAUGACAAGAUCCAUGAUGUCUCAACAAAUCUUGGCUUGAAUCUACUCCUAACUACCUUGCUUUGUGUUUCUCUCUCUAGAAAAGCCCUAGUCUCUCUCUAAAAACCAGAAAAAUGUAAUGGAAUAAUGUGGAAAGGGAAGAGAAAACUAUUUAAUUAUAUGGGCAAAAUCCGUGACAUUUCGCUUGCGCGAGAUGCAUCUCGCUUGAGCGAAGCACCUAAAAAUUCCACUCUGGCCAGUGAAGAUAUGCCACGUGGACCUUAUCCUCUGAAGCUGCUAAAACUCGCUUAAGCGAACUGGAAGCGAGCUUGAAAGCGAAUCCUGGAAGUGCUCUCUAGACAAAUUUCGCUUAAGCGAAGUGGCUUCUACUUAUGAACUUUGCUUGAGCGACUGGAAAGCGAGAUUGGAAGCGAAACUGACUGUUGCUCCCUGGAACUUUCUCGCGUAAGCGAGUUGAUCUCGCGUACGCGAGAUGUCUCUUCACUAGCAGGGAAGUGGAAGCGAGUUGGCUGCGAGAUGAGGAGUUGCUCCCUGGAACUUUCUCGCGUAAGCAAGAUGAUCUCGCGUAAGUGAGUUCUGCUUGGCUUGGAAUAUUGUUUCUUGGUCCUUGCUUGCCAUUCCUGCACCAGUUGAGUAGAGUAAAACAUUUAAAGCAUAAAUGGUAAGAUCACAACAAUUGAUUGCUUUUCCUUAGAUAACUUGCAUAACAAGUCACUGUAAUGCAUAUUUUAACACAUGAAAUAUAUUACUUUUGAGCACUUAUCACGUCUCGGACAUGCCGCAUCCACCAACGCACAUAAUGUCGAUAAGUUGUAGCACUCGCCGACGCGCGAAGUUAGCCUUAGUAGGCAAUUGAUCUCGAAGUAGUCGCCAAGCAAAAUUUUUAAACCUUGGAAGGAACAUACUUGUGCCACACUUGAUGACUGCGGCUUCUAACCAAAGACUCGUCAAAUGCCGUAAGAAAAUGAUAAGUCCCACACGCUAAAUAGCCUUGAAUAAAUGGUAUUUAUAGUUAUAGCUUUUAAUUUUCUUUGUUUUUAAAUGUGGUACAUUGAUUUUACACAACUUGCGAGACAAAUAUAUCUAACUUUUAUGCGUUAAUAAAAUACUAUUUUCGUCUUAAAUAAUAGUCGUUUAAGAUUUUUUAAAAAUAAUUAGUUGUGUUGAUUUUAAUGGUAAAAUUAAUUUUCAUUUACUAAAAUAUAUUUAUUAAUAGUAGUUAGUAGAGUAGUUAAAUUAGAUAAAUUUCAAUAAAUAAGAAUAAAAUUGUAGAAAAAGAAUAUAAAUGCUACAUUGAUAUUUUAAGGUGAUAAUUAUUUUGAGACAAAAAAAAAUAUAUAUUAAAGAGACAAUUAUUUUAAGACAAAUGAAAUAUAUAAAUAACAUUAAUUAACGGUUGUAUUUAUAAAGUAUAUAUUCUUGUUGUUGUAACACGUAAAGAGUUAUUCAAUAAAAAUCAUAUCCACGCAGUAUUAACUAUAUAAUAAUUCAUGGUUUUUUAUUUGAGCAUUUUCUUCCGUUUGAAGGUUUUGGGGGGUUUUUCCAACAAGUUUCAUUUGACUUUUAAUAUUAUUUGGAUUUCAACUCAUUUUACUAUAUGGAAGGACCACAGUAUGAGGCAUUUUCACAAUAAAUUUGAACUGCUAUCUAUCUUGGAAAAGAUUAAACUUCAACUCUUUUGGUGGUUUAAAUUUCAUUAUGAUGUUUUGGAUUUUAAGUAUUCGGAGGUCAAAAUCUUUUAUUAUGUUUUCAUAUUGUAACAUAAUUUUAUUCUUCUUAGCUAUUUUGUGGUUGCAUGUGGAUCCUCUUAUUGUAAUUUUUGAAUACUUAAGCUUCCUUUGGUAUACCUUGUGCUAGAGGAGCCUGUGUUAGUUUUUAUAAUAUUUUGUUUAGUUUCUUAGAUAAAAAACUAUAUAAUAAUUCAUAAAUUUUAUUAGUAUCAAUUAUGUGGACCUAUAAACAAAAAAAAAAAUAACUAUUUAGAGUUGGAAAACAAUAAAAAUGAAUUAAAAAAUAAAAUAAUUAAAAUAUAUACACUUAAUCAUAAUAAUUUUUUUUAUUUAUCUAUAGCAAAUUAUUCAUCCGUGUUUUUUUAUAUUUAUUAAUGACAAGUAAUAUGGGUUCUAUCUUUACAUAAAAAAAUAAUUUUUAGAAAUGUAUAUUAUUAUUUUAUAAGAAAAGAAUACAUAUUAUUUUAAAAUAAAAUGUCUUUUCUUAAAAACAAUCAAAACACAUUCCUAUUGUAAUCUAUGUAUGAAAAUUGAUGAAUCUUCUAUGCAUUUGUUCCUCCGUUGUCCCUUUGCAGUGGAGCUUUGGUCUUGGAUUGGGGGUAAGCUGAAUUGUUCACUUGAUCUUGUUUCCGUUGUUUCCCUUCUUGUGUGCAUCUCUUUCCGUUAUUCUUCUCAGGCCGCGGACAUCUAUGUGGCUGUCGUGGUUCACACUUUACAUAUCAGAUGGAACCUUCAAAGUUUUAUAUUUCAUCUGAGAACACAAGGUUUGAAUAUAUUUUAUACUUUAAAGAUGAUUUCUAUCACAAGUUUAUUUCAUACUUCAUAGUUAGUACACAUAAAAAACAGGAGUUACUUAUUAGCGGCAAGCACUUUAAAACUACACCAGGAAAGUUCAAUAUGCCUGUCCCUUCUGAUAAGUGCAGGAUCAAGCUUCUACACAUUAUUAUUUGCGAAAACAAUCAACCUUUUCCAUCCAAGGUAGUAGUGCCAGAACUAAACAAGUUUAUAAUCAAAAUUAGUGAAAAAUCACUGUUAACAUAGAGGAAAACAAUCAUAGUGAAAAAUUAACAAACACACAGUAACACAAACAUUUCAUAUUUCGACUUGAUACAAAACUGAUCCUAAUAUUAUCAAUCAUUUUACUUGGAGGCUUUCCAAUUAACAAACAAACACAGUGAACAAAGUAGCAUAUUUUACUAGCAUAUGAAUAUAAUCCAGAAGUGAACAAAGUCAUAAAACCAUCACAUAUUCACAAUUUAGUACAGUUUCACACAUAAUAUAAAAAUUCAAAGGAAUUCUAAGAAUUCAAAUACCAUGAUCAUUGUACAUCCAUAGUUCCUCUCCCCCCACCAACACUCUCUUUCAUAUAUACUUUUUUAGAUUCUCAUGUGUGCACAAGUCCCUCAUCUAACAAGAGUUCAACAGUUUGGUUCAGUUUUUGGUUUUUUUGCUCACCCCUAUAGAUAAAAGUAUGCGUUUCUUGGUUUUUAAGGGAGCAGCUGUUUGUUUUGAAUAUUUAACUCACAGGUUGCCCUUAUUCUUUAUGUAUAUUCCAGUCUCAUUAUUUUGUGUUGGUUUUUGCUGCUAGUUUUUAUAGGGGUUUUUAAAGGUAAUUUUGAGAGGAUCAUGGGUGAACCCCUAAUAUUAAGGACCAGGGACUCCCUUUUAGUUGUGGGGUUUUUGUUGUUUCUAAGGUGAUCCGCCUAUAUAUUGAGUCUUGUUCGUUUUGUUUGUGGCUUCAUUCCGCGGAUUUUGUGUGUGUGUCUUGCACAAACUUAUCGAGAAUGAUAUUUGAUGUUUAAUAAAAAAAGAUAAACAAACAAAAAAUUGAUUAUGUUUUUCAUAAAAUCUCUAAAUUAUUAAAUGUUAAAAUCAUUUUUUUAAUCUAUAAAAUACGAGCCAUUAUUGAAUUUACAUUUAAUAAAAAUAAAUUUUAUGAUGUUCUAGUGCUUUUAUACUACAAUGAAUCUAUUAAUUCGACACAAUAUAACUACCCUUCUUAUGAGAUUUUCUUUUUUAGGUACUCUUUUGGUAAUUCAUUGAAAAAUUAUUCCCGAAUUAUGAAAGUUAAUGACUAACCAAAACACUCCAUCCUAAUCAUUUGUGACCUCAACUUAAUUUAACCAUUUUGUGUCUUAUAUAACCAAAAAAAAUCCAUUUAAAGGCGAGACAAAAUGUCUGUCAAAAGAUUCAGAUGGUUUUGUACCAAAAAUAUUAUUUUAUAUAGUUUCGUUUUGACAAAAAUAAAAGAUAUUCAUUCAUUAAAUUAAAAUUAAUAGAGUACAUCGAUACAAUACACAUCCAAAGUUGUUAGAGACUCCUCCCUAAAAACUUCUAGUGCUUGCCUUCCUUUUAUCCGCUUCGUUCUUAAUCCAAAAUUAUGAAUGAGAGGGAUUGCAUUUAUAGGUAUAACACUCAAAAUAAAGUUGUCUAAAAUUUUUAUUCCAGCGUUAAAAUUUCAUAUUGGAUGCAUUAAAUUACAACACAAUUGCUGUCAGAAUGCAAACAUAACAUAGACAUAUCUCAUACUGUUACAAUAAGUACAAACUGAUGCAUACAUGAUACAUGAUUUUGGUGAAAAUACAUGUACUAACUAAUGAGUACAUCAUAAACAAGAACAUAGUCAGUGUAUAACAUCACGGCAACUAGUACAUAAACUAAUAAAUGAAACACGUCAGCAUAAUCAUUCAGUUGUUUUCUCCUUACCCUUGUCACAAGCCUUAGUCACCUCACCUGUGUAUCUGUAAUAAAAUAAAAAGGGAUUGGGAUGAGACGUAAUAUCUCAAGUGAGCUCCACCUAUCAAGGGUAAUAGUGAUCAUUGGGAAAACUAAGAUCAUAGUUUGUAAAUUAUCAUGGUUCAUAUCAUGUUUCAUGCUAAUUAAUUAAAUAUGUUAGCAUGUAUCACACAAUAAUAUCUAUGUUGAUUUUAUGGAAUGAUUGGGCGGAAUAAUCCUGAACAUCCCUCUAACUAUUCUACUAAAAUGCUCACCAAUCAGGUUAAAAUCGGAACUUCUAUUAUCGUCGUGCAAGAUUUCCAUAUCGAAAGAAUACUUAUCCAAUACUAAUGCGGAAUCUCGAAGUCCAAUUCUGAUGUGGAACAUCGAUCGACACAAUUUAGCAUAUAAAUGAAUUCUUAUAAACAUAUUAUUCUUAUCAUCAUAUACCCACAAUUCAUAGUUUAGUGAUAUUCCGGUAUUGCCAAAGCCAUAUCUCAUUCACUCUCACAUUAAUAUACUAUCACUCUAGAACCCGAAACAUUCACUUACACAACACAUAACAGGUUUUUACAGCAUUUUUCACUUGGUAACCGGUUGUACAUGUGUAACCGGUUACCUAAGUUGUUGGAGAGUGUGAAACCGGUUGCGCCAAUUGUGUAACCAGUUACACAACAUAGAAAAUCAGUUUUUCUCCCGACAAACUUUGUGUAAUAUAUCGAAUGCAAGCUUGUAAAAGUGGCCAUGUGAUAAGUAACGAUAGUAUUCCCUCUGUUUCUAAAUAUAAGCAAAUUUGACUUUUUAGGUUCAUUCAUUUAAUGAUGUAUGUGGUCCACAUACAUAAUUAAAUAAAUGAACCUAAAAAGUCAAUUUUACUUAUAUUUAGAAACGGAUGAAGUACAUCAUAAACAAGAUGCAUUAUUGGGAAACUAAACAUACAUAAAUUAAGCCUAACGUACAUGUUAGUUUUCUCACAUACACGUAAUCAUACACUACCCAAUGGUGGGUUCUAGCUAAGGAACUCGUCUAAGAAUAAUCUGGCAACUUUGUAAGCUUCCAAACCAAACUCUAGGACCCAAGCUUCUGCAUUAACCUAACUUUUAUUUUCUUGCAUCUAAUCAUCAAAAUAGAGAGUGACUGAGUGAGGCUCGACCAAAAGAGGAGAAAAGGGAAAGGAUUAAGUUUGCAUUAGGGCUUGAAUGCUCCAAAUAUAUACAAUAAAAACAACUUAUUUGCAUGCAUUGAAUCUUGCACACCUUAUUUUAUUGUGAUUUAAAGCAUGUUGACUGAACUCCAUAAGCUAACUUUAAUUUGAGUUAGGAUCAGGGACGGAUCCGCCAUAAGACAUGGUGUGGUUGUUGCCACACCAGAUUAUUUCUCAAUUUUUGUUCUUCAUAUAUUUGACUUAAAUAAUAAUAAAAUAUAAUUAAGUCGUUUAAAUAUCACAGUUCCUUUCUUGGCCUAGCAGUAUGUGUUUUAUGGAUGAUUUAUGUGUUGUGUUCAACUCCCGGUGGGUCCGUAACACCAUGGUAAAAUGCUCUCAUCCAAACCAUUUUGUUGUAGUGUUUAAGGUGUCAAUAUUUUACUUUGUUAAUAUAUAUAGUUGUUUUGGAAAUUUUAUCACACCAAUAUCAAAUGUCUGAGUUCGCCCCUGAUAAGGAUCCUUUUCUUUUAUCAUAAAUCAUGAUAAAUGAAUGAUGUUAUAGAUACAAAAAGUAGAUGAGAUGUGUUCUACUGAGUACAACCAUCAUUAAUUAUUUUAUAAUUGUUUUCAAACUUUUUAUAUUUUCUCUUUGCAAAUUGAAUAAAUAGAGAUAAUUUUAAAUGUAGAGAUCCGUCUCUCUUAUUGUUGUGAGCAUCUCAUAUGCAAUUGUUGUGUGCAUAUAAUUGUGAAGGAAGACUAAUAUUCCAAAGAACUAAAAUCUGUUUAAGAAAUUUUUGACUAAUUAACCGAUUUACGAAAACAAAUACUCCCUCCGUUUUUAAAUAUAAGUAAAUUUUACUUUUUAUGUUCAUUCAAUUAAUUAUGUAUGCCACAUACAUCAUUAAUUGAAUAAACCUAAAGAAUUUUAGAGUAGAUUGUGUUCCACACAAAAUUAUCUACUUUUCUAAUUUUGUGUGCAUCAGAAGUUAAUUAAUUUCAGUUAGCCUAUAGCAUAGUGAAAACCACUUUAUAACUUAACAAAAAAAAAAAAUCCGCUUUAUAAUAAAUAUCUUCGCUUAUUUACCACACUCACUAAAACCUAUUUUAAUUUGUUUCGAAACUUCUAAAAAUAUUUUCACAUUUUAAUCAACUUUUUUUUAGGUUUUAUUAAUUUAAAAGCUUAAAAGGCACAUACAAAAUCAUAAAAUAAAAUAAAAAUUAAAAAAUGUGAUUUUUCUAUGAAAUAGUCGGUAGCAAAAUUGUAAAAGAAAUUCGGUAGCAUAGUGGCUCUAAAAUUCUUCAACACAAACUUAUUAAAAUAUAUCAGAGUUAAUUUGUAGGAGCAAAUUAAUAUCACUCUGAAUAUAGAUAAUAUAAUAACACCAUCACUUAUUAUUCAUCAUUGUUAAGUACAAAUCACAGGUUCAAAGCUACAAUACAUCAGAUAUAUAUUGUACACACAAUAUAUAUAGUGAUCAAGCUUUUUAAUCUUAAUAACUUAAUUAUCCAAAGAUAAUUAUACUAACUUACAAACUUAAAAGGACAUAAUACCUCAUGGAUGGUCAUAUAUAGAAAAUGAUGGUUUUAGUUUACUUGAACUUAACAAUUUGGGAUGACAACAUUGCAAGCACUAGCAACCCUUUUAGAACCAGGAGAGUUAACAUAUUGCCUCAAAUUAGGGUUUUUGAUGUAUCCACAUAAGCAUGGCCUUUGCUCCCUCAAUUUGGAGCAACAAUUAGUUGAAGGUGGUGCAUUUGAAGUAAUUGCCCCAAGACAAGGACUCAAUUCAAUUGGGCUACAAUUCGCAGCCUCCGCAAUGGUAGCCACUUCAACAAUAAGCACUACCAUAAUCAUCAAUGCACACACAACCUUCAUCUUCAUCAUUUUCACUACUUCUCUAAUUAGCUAGUAAUUGGACAAAUUUUAGAGUGGAGUAUACUUGAUUAAUUGGCUAUGUAUUUAUAAGCAUGGAAAGUUAUAAUGGCUAUGUGGGUUGUUUUUGUUUAUAUGAGUGGAGAGUACUAGUAGUGGGUUUGGUUAGGUGCUCAACUCAAUGAAUAUUAAUUGCGCCUUAAUUUGAGUGGUAAAUGUGUCAUUGAUAUUGUCCCUACACCAGGAAAUGGGCGUUGAGAUGCAUUAAUACAACUUCUAUUUUUAACAGUACUCCUACUUCAUCCGUUCUAAAAUGAAUUAUUUAGUCGACAUCAGUCAAUACACAUUUAUAAAUAAAAGGACACUUGAAAUUUCAUUGAGAAAAAUCACACAACAAUAUAUGUUAUCAUUUGUCUUUUUGUACUAGAAGAAAAUAUAAUUAAAAUAUGUUAUUUGAAUAGUAUACUUCAUUUCUACAUCACUCAUUUAAGACGGAGGGGGUAAUUUUUAAAAAUAAAACUAGCAUACCUUCCUUCUUUAUACGCAACAUCAUAUGUUAAUCAUUUGAGUUAGUUAAGAUGUACUUCCUCCGUCAUUUUUUAUAAACAUCCUUUUAUAUUUUUCACAUAUGUUAAAAAAAGUUGGUGGUGUAAUGAAUGUGUAUAUUUUAUGUAAUACUUUUACUAAAUUACUUUUGUGUAUAGAUAUAUGUAUUUACAAUUGACUUAGGGUUCAUGUUUAAAAAAAACAAUAAAUACAUCUAAUAACUUGAAAGAUAACUUAUAUUUAAGGGUAAUUGUUUUCUCUCAAUAAGUGUUUAUAAUUAGUAACGGAAAGAGUAUUUUGGAGAUUAAUAUUUCUUCCUUUCGGGUGCUAGAUUUGAACGGAGUAUCAUGAAGUUAAAAGUGAUCUUUCAAUCUCGGACUCUUUUGUACGAAGAAACUUCGAUUGAGAGCGGAUAAUUUAUUAGAUGUACUUCACAUAUUUUUCAACGAAGAUUAGUCAUUGCUAAAUAGAAGUGUAAACUUGGUUAAAAUGAAAAUUCUAAGGAUUUUUAUAUAAUUUCAAAGUCUCGGUCUUCUUUCCAACUUUUUAUAAUUAUGGAAAUUCAUUCCCAUUUCUGGUGUCAUAUAAUUAAGGACAAAAUCAUUAAUUUGAGUCACCGUAAGAUUAACUUAGUUGGUAUAGACAAUGUAGAACAUAUGUAAGGUUGGGAGUUGAAUUACGACCACCACAAAAAAAAAAAAAAAAAAAACAUUAAUUUGAGUCAUUACUCGAAAUAUUUGUACAAGGUCAAUUCAAGAAAAUAAAUCUGACGCAUUCUAAUAUGACUAUGGACUGCUAUAUCUGACUAGCUCCAAAAUACAUGCAACAGUCCUCUAAAAAAAAUAGAGAAAGAUGAAAAAAAAAUUUAAUUAUUCAUUGAAUUAAGUAAAUCAACCGUCAAUAUGAAAAACGAUUUUCUUUGCUAAAGUAUACAUACUAUGAGACAAGCAUAAUAAUGUUGGGAAUAGGCCAGGCUAGACUUUGAUAGGCCUGAGCCUGACCUACGAAAAAAUUUACAGGCUUGAGCUUAGCCUAUGACCUUUCAUAGGCCUAUUUUUUUUGUCUGACCUGGCCUAUUUAAAAGUCUGGCCUGGCCUGAAAACCUAUUUACAGGCCUACUUACUAUUAAAGUCAUUAAACAUUCCAUUUUAUCUACUUUUGAAUAGGCUUAAUAGGCCUCAAAGCCUAUUUCAGUGUAAGACUUGUUUAUCACUACUAUAAGACCUUAAAAGCCUUUAAAGCCUAUUUAAAAAGUCCACUAUGAAACCUAAUAUGCAUAAACUGACCGACCUAUUAAGCUUCAUAGGCUUUUUUAAUAGCCUAAGCCUGACCUAUUUACUUAAAUAAGCUUUUUAAAAAGCCUAAGAAGAAGGUUAUUAUUUUAAAGUUAUUAAUUUAAGAAUAUUUUUAAGUGAUUGAAAAAUAUACUAGUAUUAUUUUUUCUAUAAUACGGUGACUAGUAUUAAUUCCAUAACCAAAAAAGUCACUCAUCGUGAGAGAACCGAGAAGAAGGUUAUUACCGAUUUUACCGAAAGACUUUUUCUUACAACAUUACCGAAAACAGUUAAAAUAAAAAGGUUUUACGUAUCAACAAGAAUUUUUUUCACUAAUGUGGUGACUAGUUUUACUUUUAGAAUUCCUUAAAAUCAAAACGGUUAAAUAUGAAUGACCAGAAAACAAGCUAAUUUCACGGUUUUACUUAAAAAUUCUUGUUACGUGAAUUUCAGUUUGGCUUCCACUAAAAGAAAAAGAAGGUUGUACCAACAAAAUGCAUACAAGUGUAUCAACUGGUUUAUAAUUUAUUCCAACUCUAAUUGGAUUGAUUCGAUUCAGAUCCGCCACCUACUUUUUAAAUAUUUGAAUUGAAACAAUUUUCUCAAACUUGAUUGAUUUGUAUCAAAACUAAUCAUAUCAUCAUCUCUUCUUGCUCCGGGUGGCAAUCCUCGUAAGAGGCAAUUAGUUACUUGGAGUCAAAAAAGUUGGUAAAUUUACGAGUCAAAUAAGUAGUACUUUUUAAAAUUUUCAGAGACAACUCUUAUAUAAUUUUUUAUUGGUACAAAGUGUCCAUUAUUAAAAGUAACUAUUUGUCUUUCUUUAGAUUGUUGUUGUUUUUUUUUUUUUUUUUCCUUUCUUUACAUAUUUCAGACGCUUCUUUUAGGCGACCAAAAUCUCCAUGGUUAAGUGGUCUGUGGAGUGUAAGCUGAAAUGUAGAGGUGAUUUUGGGGUAAGGGAUAUGCGUCUAUUUUAACUUGGCCCUUUUGGACAAAUGGAUGAGGAUGCUUGUUUUAGGAGGUCGAGCUUUGUAAAAUCUGCCAAUUUUGAUUUCGUUGAUAGGCUUCAGUCAAUUAGGAAAGAGGAGUGUUAUUUGAACAAUCAUUUUUGUUGACAACUUGUGAAAUAACCUAAAUAUACAACGAAAUACGAGUAUUGGCACAAAAACCAAAUCAAUAGAGAGAAAAAGUAAAAACAAAAUGUGAGUAUGAGAGUGAAAAUUGUCACAAAAGUUGUCAAACAUAUACUAUGGAGUAAAACACAAAGCAUAGAGCAGGUGAUAGUUAAAUGAACAAUUCACGUAUACUAUGUACUCUGGACUCAGAAUCUCCUUUCUGUCCCCAACACAGAGCCAAUUAGAUCUCAACCACCAAAAACACAACAAAAACUGCAAUGACCUAUUUAUCUUUAUUUUCAUAUUCUAUUUCUAUCUCAAAAACAACACUAAAAGAAAUCCAAUUAGUAUCACACGUCUUGCUUGCUGUACAUAUGGUAAACAGUGACAUCCACCUGAUGAAACAGCUUAAGCACAAAAUUGCUAAUGGGUAAAUGCAUUUUAUUGGUUUUGACCAUCCUCUUGGGUUUUUGCUUUACCACGAAGCAUAUCACUGAAAUUUCCCAGCAUGAUGCGUCUGAAUCUAGUGUCCUCUGCUGGUGGAGUGGCAGCCUUGGGGGACACAGCUGCAUCUGUUGGUGGUUCAGUGGAUUCUUUCUUUCCGAGCAACCCACCCUCACCAAAGAAGUUGCUAACUGAUGAUGGAAGCCCAAGAUGGGCACCCAUUACCUUGCUAAUAGUAUCGAAAGUUCCUCCUGAUCUUUCCUUCAUAAUAAUUUCAAGGGCUUCUUUGUGAGCUGGAUCCAGUGCAUCCAAGUCUUUCAAGAGGUUCUGUAUAGCAGGGAGGAAGAAGUCCCGAACACUAUUUGCAGGAAGAUCUACAAUGAAGAAAAAAAAUAAAAAUACUUGAGGGAAGAAAGAAAUUUCAUGAAUCAGUAACAUAAAGUCUCCUUGAAAUUAAAAAUACUUUUACAAACAAUGUUGCAAUGGUAGACUCUAGAGUACUGGUGGUGAAUAAAAUAAAUUUGAAAUUUGAAAUUACAAAUGAUUUGUCAUCAUGGGAAUGAAGAAGAGGACAUAUGCAGAUUUUGAUUAACAAUGAUCCAAAAAGGAUAGAAAAAUGGAUAAAAAGUGAUAACAUUUACUUUGUGGAGGAUGCCUUAUGAUUUCUUUUAGUAACAUAAACAUCCUAUCUAAUAAUAUUUUCUAUUAAAAAAAGGGAAGUGACUUCAACAAGUGAAAAAGCGUGGUUUGAAAUUCAACUAAUUAGAUUAAACACAACACAUUCCGCUAAAAUGAUCUAUACAUUACAUGUACCAAUUGGGAUAUGGAAAAACUACCAAAUAGGUAGCCCCAUGUCCAGAUUACAUAGCUACAUCAAUAAAAAAUCUGAAUCCUAUGACAACAGGACAUAGGACGAUGACAGUUAUCAUUAACAAGUUCAAAGCAUUAAUGCCAUCAAUCAAACCUUGACUUGAACACCAUAGAAAUAUCUCAAAAGAAUUUGAACACGCCAGAUUAAUAUGUUUUUUAAAUGAGCAAACCUGUAGCAUCCAGAGCACGGAUUGCCUCACAGAAUGCAUCAGCUCUCUCUCGUCGACGCAUUAAAUCUUUUGCCACAUUUGGCAUUGCUGUAAGUUGGAAAAUCUUGGACAAAAGAUGUAUGUGAAGUUAAAGAAACAAAAACACUAUUUCAGAAAUCUUGAAAGCCAACAUAACAUGCAAAUGACUAAAAAAAUGGACAAAAAAACGUCAGGACAUAAAUUACUUCUCGAAACAUUUUUUCCAGAAAUAAGGUUAAGGAUAUAAUCUCUAAGUCUUUCUAUUGUAUGUGGUACGGCAAUCACCAACGCACGAAUAACAGCAAUAGUAGCUUCAUGGGAACCAUCUUCAAGAAAAGCGUCCAUUUGAACACGUAUCUUAUCAACAAUCUGGAAGAUAAGAUCAGGAAUUUGAAAUGAAAAUUGGCAUUAACAUCGUAAGUCGUAGCUUCAACAAAAACCAGGGAGAAUACUAGUAGCAGUUACCAUCUCAUUUUUGAAGUGCUGAGCCACUGCACCAAAUGCAUCUAUGCUAGCAUACUUUACAUUCAGGUUUUGAUCAGAUCCAAGAGUAACUAGAGCAGGCAAAACAUGAGUUGAAGCAGCCUUUGCAUCAAUAUAUGGAACCUAAUAAUUAGCAAGCUGUCUUAGUUUAGGCAUUUGCAUGAGAUGCAUCUAGAAACUAAGCAAACAGCACUCUUACAAUAAUUUUCAGCAGCUGGGCGGCAGUUAUUUUCAUGCUCAUGUUAGAGCUGACCACCAUUUCCCAUAAUAUAUUAAAUACCAUGCCAUGGUUUUCUUCGUAUGUGCUGCAUUAUAAAGAAAGCUCAUAAUGAAUAUUGGACAAAAAUACAUUGAAUUUUAAAAAUGUUUGUGGUGAUAAUCUGACCAAAUGAAGCGGAUAGCAUUAAUAAUCUCAGGAGUGUGCUUGGUUGAUCGAUUUUCCAUGGAGUUAUCUUCUAGUAGCAGCUUCCUUAAAUAUCCUGCUAACUGUUCAUGUUUUCCAGGAGCACCCAGAACACCAGCCAACAGAAGCGGUAAGACACACAUUGUAUAAAGCCUAUCGGCCAUGGCAGAUCUUGGCCUCAAACCUACAAGUGAAAGGUCAGAUAUGAAGCAAUUAUGUAAAAAAAUCACAGGGGAAAAAAUGUUACCUUUAAUUCUUGAAUGAAUGGCAGUAGGAAAAAAAGUCAAAUCUGCAUCAUCCCUUACUGCAAUUAAAAAUACUGGUAGCAUUAUGCAUGUCACGUAGGACUCCCCAAAACAUUCAGAAACGGAUAACAGAAACUGCAUUUACGUAGGUUAUAUCAGCAAAAACUCAGAAAAAACUUUGGUUAGAAGGCAUACAAAUGUUUUGAAAACUGUAAAGGGAAGACAAGCGACCUUCGAAACUCGGCUCCGUAAAUUAUCUUCUUUCUGUGGCAACAAGCUGGCCAGCUGAAUCAAAUUUGGAAAACACUCAACAUGCAUCCACUCAAAUGCAUCCCAUUCAACUUGACCCCUAGUAAAAUCGAAACCAUUAAAGAUCAGCAGCAGCUUUGAUGGAGUGGUCGUGCAUGGUUAGUCUUUUAGUCUAUGCAAAAUGCAUGAAUGCACACACAUUAUUACAACAUGAAUCAACAAGUCUCAGGAGGAAGGAUGUGAUGUUGCAUUACAACAUUGUCUCUUCUAAAUAUCCCAAUUGCAUUAUUCAAAAUCAGCUGUUCUUGCUAAGCUUACCUAGCAUACAAUUCAAGCAAUGGGAUAGAUAACACAGUUGGUGCAGUUUCUGUGGUGGACAAGAAGGGGCAUGUGUCAAAUGCUUUUUGGUGCACGAAAGGGAGCAAUUUCAUCAGCAUUUUCAACAAAACGUCUACGUUCCAGCGCUCUCUUUCACCCAAUACACGGAGAUGUGACUCUAUAGACCCUUCAACCCCAGAAAGAGGCGGACAACGCUGCGGAUUGAUGCAAAAAAUCCCACUCAAAAAUAAUUUCAAUAAAUAAUGAAACUGUAAGUCUGAAAGGUAGAGUACAAAGAAAAACAUACCAGAGCUGAGUUUAAAAUAUGAGAAAGUAAAACUCUCAAAACAUGAUCUAAAUUGUUUCCCCACUCUAUAACUGCAGGAACCAAUUCCUUGAGAGCAGUUUCCACCACCACUCCAGUCGGGUCACAUACUAAUUGGAACAUCAGCUCCUCCACCUAGCAAUAAGAGGUGAAAAAAAUAAUUGGAGCAAAUCUUAAUUUUCAUUAUUAUUUUCAUUUGAAAGUUAUCAUAUUAUGGUAAGGUAAAAGGUUCCAUUCCCUAGACCAUGUUUUGUUAGCCUGUUCUAUAGCUUACAUUGUAGCAAAGUCUCAAGUCAGAAACCUUCUCCAUGAUUGCCUCGAAGCAAAUAUAGUGAGGCUGACCUUGAAAUAUUUAUCCACGUUUGGGAAAAGUGGAAGCAGCAUAGCUAGAUUUCGAGCUGCACCCUCUCGAACAACACUGGCAGAGUCUUCUAUUAGUUGCUGUACAAUUGAUAAAAUAAGAGAAUCGCGAAUCUCAGGCCGUACGAAUUCUGCAAGCUCUCCACAUGACUGAGCCACGAGCAACCUACGCUCCUCGUACAUGUGACUGAUCUAAUAAUCGCAAAACCAACAAACUAAAAACCUGGUCCAAGUUUUAUAAAGGUAAAAAGCAAGUUGAAAUGUGAAGCAAAAAUAUACUUGUUCCCAGCACUGUGGAAGCAAUUCUGUUUCUGUUCUCAUCUCUCCAACAUUCUUUGCAAGGCUGACACAUGCCUGAAAGGAUGACAGGUAAAUUUAAAUUGUAUUCAAACGUUCGCAAGAAGAAAUCAAGAAAACAGCACAACAUACAUCCAUUAUUAUUCGUCUCUGCUGCUCAUCUGGACGUUUGAUUAAAUUAAACAAUGUGUGGGUCAAAGAAUCUCGAGUGCUACUGUCUGGGUGGCGCUCAAUAGCACACAUUAUUAGAGGAAGGAGCUCCUACAAACAAACAAAGUUAUGCAACAUUCAUGGGACAGAGAACAAAUGAAACAUAUUUAUAGAAAAGCAGACCUCACGAUGAUUGAUCAAGACAUAAGGAACGAUUUUAGGCAAAGCAUCUGCAAGUAUCUGAACUGUUCCUAAUCCCUGUCAAAAUAUGAACAUAUAUAAGAACAAAAUAUCACAGUUAAAUCAUAUGGACAGAGACAAACCAAUUUAGACAACAUUUAGCCAUCUCAACAGUGCAUCAUUUUUUCUUCAGAUGAAAAGGGUAGAGAUUUUUCAUCUCUAUAUUUUUCAAAAGUGCUACAUAACAGGUAAUGAAAAUUAGGAACAGUACUUCCAGUUCACCAUUCUUAACACUAAAUCAAGCCUUGACCAAAACAACUCCCAAUUGUUCAGUCUCAACAAAAUUUUAAAAAAAGUAAACCGUAUCAUAUGAAACCAACAAGUAAUAAUGUCUACAGAUAUCAGAAGCCAAGAGUACUACGAACUUGCUGUUUUCUCGUAUAAUUAAUUUGUCACUUACAAUGUCUGAUUUUUCAUGUAACCCAGUGUCCACUUCUUGUUGACCAACAUUUGUUUCGGAGUCAUUUUUUAUAUUUUCGAAAGCACUGUUUAUAUUUGCAGGAUUAACUAAUUUAGGCAAGGUAUCUUCAUUGUUAUUUGCAUUCUCAUUCAAAGGUUGAGCAGCUGAUGAUUGAGCAUCUUCAUUGGGUACAGCACCAACCACCGCAUCACCAGGAUUUGAGAUUGAACCUUGGUCUUCAUGAAUCUCAAUAACUUUAUCAUCUGUCUGUAAAUUUUCCAUUUCAGAACUGACAAAAUUUCCAGGUUCAUGAGCUCUUGCAUUCUUUUCCUUCAGCGAUUCAAUUUCCACCAGCAAUUUCUUAAUUUCUUCCUCGUACUUCUCUAAAGACUGAGACUGAACAUUAUUAACUUCCUUGCCAGCCAGAUUAUUUCCUGAGAAAGAACCUUCAAUAUGCAUUUUCAGUGAAGUGAUCUCAGCUCUGCAAUCAUUGAGCUCUUUCCUUUGGUGCUCCAAGGAUUGUUUUAAAACUAGCACCUGAAAGUUACAACUGAUAUAUCACAAUUUUGUAAAUUCAAAUGUUGUUUUACGGAAUCAUUUAAACUAAAAAUAAACUACCUGGUUCUCUUUGUCUCUAAUAUCUUUCUGCAUUGCCUCCAAAGAUUUAGUUAAGGUUCCAAUUUGAGCAUCAGCCAAAUCUUUGUUCUUCAAUAAGGUUUCCUUUUCUUGAUUAAGCUUCUUAUUCAAUUUCAGCAAUUUUUCAUUCUCUCGAAGUAAAGAAAAUUUUUCCUGCAUUUUCAUGCGAAUUUCAGUAGAAAUAGUAACGUGAACAGAAUAUCAUAUGAUUAGCUUGAAUCUAUCCAAAAAAUUUAGAAGAACAAUUAACAGUGAGUCCAAAACAACAAAUGCAUCUGAAAUAUAUAUAUCAAAAUUCACUUAUUAAAUAAACUUAAUUGCAUAUGAAAAAAUACAGCUUCUUCAAUUUAUGUAGAAAUAGUUUUAUUAGGGAAAUGAACAUCUGAAAUAUGAGUGUUGAAGUUAUAGAUUAUAGAUAAAAAAUUGCAAUGAAUUAUAAACAACAACCAAGCCUUUUCCCACUAAGUGGGGUCGGCUACAUGGAUCAAAUUACGUCAUAGUAUUCUAUCAUAAGCCAUAUUUGGAUCCAACUCAUUGACCCUUAAAUCCUUUCUAAUGGUUUCUCUAAUUUUCCUAGGUCUCCCUCUACCUGUUUUAAACUGACUCUCUUCCAUUUGAUCAACUCUUCUUACGACGGCAUCUAACGAUGAAUUAUAAACGUUAGAAUAUUAUUGAUGAUAACUAGAUAAUAGCUUUAUACAAACUCGAUACAAAAGACUAAGCAGUAAUAUCUAUUUAUAGAGAUACAUAGGCUCGACCCUAAAUAAAUAGAGAAAUCAUGAAACAAUCAUAAUAAUCAAGUAAAAAAAUUAAUCCUUUGAGAUACUCUAAGAUUAUAAACUGAUCAUAGGAAAUAAACUACGAUGCUCCAAUCUAAUGUCAAAGAAAUUAUAAGGUAUUUCCUUAUAUUAUAACAAUGAGGAUGAGAAUUGAGAAACCCUUAAAAUUGGAAAGCAAAUAUAAACUGAAAAUUACAACAGAAGCUUGGGGAAAGCACUAAACAACAUAAUAGCACAGAUUGAAAUGAAGGGGGUCCAAGUUCCAAUAGGUUUGCACAUUUCAUCAAGCAUAAUAGUAGACAACAUCAAGAAUAGACAAAGUAUAGGUAUCUCAGAAGAAGAAUGAGGAGUCAGAUAUGAAGAGCAAUUAAGGAUUUUAGGGAGAUAUCUGGAAAUUGGUUUUAGGAUUAGGAUACCAUAUCACGAGAGAGGGGGGAUUGUUUUUGCUGUGUAGAAAAGGGAUGGGAUGACUUAGCUUGUGUCUCCCAAUUCUAACAUUUAUAUAAGAUUAAGGCUUGUACACGCAGGCCAAACCAACAUACUAUUCCUAACCUGAGUAGAUAAGGCCAUGGACUAAUAUGCAUGCAGAUACUCAAACAAAAUACUUAAGAAAAAAAAUUAACACUACCAGAAGAAAAAAGUACAUAUGAAAUAUAUGAAUGUUAAAUGAAAGACAUAAAACCCACAAAAUGGUAAGCAGAAGAAGUUGAUUGGUGGAAAGAUAUUAGAAGCCAAUUUGUCAGAACAGUUUUUGGGGGUACAAUAUAGUAUGCUAGGUGGUACACAAUGAACAGCUUGCUUAUAUAAUGAAGAAAUCACCUCUGCCGCCUCAGAAGUUGAUGAAAGAUAUUGAUAAUAAUAAUGCCGCAAGGCAUCAGGUACAGAUGCAGGUGUGUUGUGCCAAAUGUCCAAGUUCUGGUCUGUAACCUACAAGAAUAGUUUUAGUGAAUAAUAACAAAUCACUAAAAUUAAGCACUGAAUUGGAAGGGAAAAAAUAAUGUUAAAUAUUGACUUUGAAAGCAUUUAUGCUUGUUCAUACAGGGGAAGAAAAAACAGAAAAAAAAAGAUCUAUCAGAUUGUAUCUUGACUGUCAAUGAUUUCCUUAUUAAAUUAUAAACCAUCAACUCAGUCCCUUAUGUCUUACUCUCUUUUGUAGUUCAUGUGCAAUCCCUUUCUCCUUUUGGUCAUCUUUUGAUAUCUGAUGUCACGGGAGUCUCAACUCCCCAAUUAAUAACAACAACAACAACAACCAAGCCUUAUCCCACUAAGUGGGGUCGGCUACAUGGAUCAAAUGACGCCAUAGUGUUCUAUCAUAAACCAAAUAUGGAUCCAAUUCAUUGACCUCUAAAUCCUUUCUAAUGGUUUCUCUAAUAGUUUUCCUAGGUCUUCCUCUACCUCUUCUAACUUGACUCUCCUCCAUUUGAUCUACUCUUCUUAUGACGGCAUCUACGGGUCUUCUCUCUACAUACCCAAACCAUCUAAGCCUAUUUUCUACCAACUUUUCUACUAUAUGUGCUACCCAACUCCAUAAUUAAUAAAGGUAUACAAAAAUAGUAGUAAUAAGUAAUCCUGAAGUAUAUGAAAAUCAAUCAUGUUAGUCCCUUAAGUGCAUGAAAACUCGUUACAUUAGUCUCUAGCAUCUUAAUAACAGGGACUAAUAACAAGACAAAUUUUCAUAUACUUCAAUGACUAAGUAGGAGAAGAGGUGACAUUAAGGUGCCUCAAUAUCAAAGGUACUAGCCCAAAACCUACGGCACCUUACAUAUCUCAACUCAACAGUGCCAAUGCAACACCAUCUGACAACCUAAAACCCAAUUAUCCCUCCAAGAAUAGAAAAUUAAAAAGUGAAAUAGCAUAAAAUCAUCCCUACAUUCCAUAGCAUGACUAUAUUUUUUAUUGGUUCCUAAUCCAUCCGAAUAAAGUACAAGAAGAUACUACAGUGUACAGUCACUGUUUUCUAAUUGCUUAUUGAAACAGGUAAUGGACAAAAUAAUUCAGAACUAAAAGAGAUACAUGGAAAAUUACAUCUUAAAAUUGAACUUUUACUUUCUUAGAAAUCACAAGUCUACCCCACCGCUGCCCCACACACACCCCUCCCCCCAAAAAAAAAAUUCAUAAGAGAAAUAAAAUCAGAAAGUCGCAGAAAAAUAGGCAAUACAGAAUACUAACCUCUUCAUAAAAUGUCAUUGCAGUAAGACGGUAACCAGCUAAAAGUAAAUAUUCCUUUACAGCACAGUUCAGAUCUUGACGUUCAGUAUCCUUUAACGGACCCAAAUCGGUGAAGGAAGUGUUCUUUUGCUGUUGAAUUUGUUGCCCAUCAUUCACUGAAACAUCACCACUUAACUGUGUAGCUGCAUUCAAAAAGAAGUAUUCCAUAAAGCAAUGACAACUGGAGAACAUCCCAAGUAUUCUAAGUCAUUAUUUUUUAUAUACACAAGAAAAAACUUCUCAAGAGAAAAAUGAAGAGCAUAAAGCCAAAUUGCUUUACAAUGAGUGAAGGAUCAUUUUCAACAAAUCUUUUAGCCCAGGAUUAACGAAGGCCAACUUCUAGAUAGUUUUAAGUGAAAAUAUUAUAAAUGUUCAGGUAGGGUGUCUAGACUCUUGACUUAGAUGCUAACUUACAAGGAUUGAAAGGGAUUUUCCAACAACAAAAAUGUUAAGGUUAACAAUAUUUAAAAGGUCAAAUGCAUCUAAAGGUCCUUUAAGUUUUUCGUUUCCCCCAAAGUGGUCCUUUAAGUUUCAAAAGUCCCAAACAAGUCCUUUUAGUUUUUGAAUCGUUUCAAACAAGUCCUAUUGUAGAUAGAAUAGUUGGUAAUUGCUUCCUUGAACUCAUCUUUGGUACCAAAUUUGGCUCCUAACACCCACUUAAAAUUAGUCAUCUUUUUAGGCAUGGCAAAUGGUGGAUAAUGCUCUUUGUUGCUAUCAUCUGAAUCAUCAUCAUCAUCCUCUAAAAGGACUUGUUUGAAACGAUUCAAAAACUAAAAGGACUUGUUUGGGACUUUUGAAACUUAAAGGACCACUUUGGAAAAAAUGCAAAACUUAAAGGACCUUUAGAUGCAUUUGACCUAUUUAAAAUUAUGGAAGGCCUACAGGAAUUCGAUUUUUUAAGUAGGUUGUUUGAAGCAAGGAAGUUGCCUACUUUGUUUAAGGAAAAGGAUUUGCUGUUUUUUUAGUAUAAGAUUAUCCAUGGGGAAGUCGUCGUGUUUCCCUUUUCUGUUUUGUCCUUGGAUUGUUUCCUUGUAGAGGUUUUAUCUUUUUAUUUUUCUUCAACUCCGUUUGUGUUUUGAUGGAUAACACAAUACCUAAUCAUCUCUCCAGUUACCUCUUUCCUAUCUAAUAGUAUCUAUUCUUCUAGCUAAUGGGAAAUGAAAAAAGCUGAACAUAUCAUUCUUCAUCAGCAUAAUUCUGUAUAAUUAUGUAAAAAAUGUAUGACAUUGAAGGCCUAAUAGAUAUCACAUAAUAUAAAAGAUACAAAGGUCAAAAUGUCCUGAGAAUUAAAAAAAAAAAAAAAAUUACCACUUUGUUCAUUACUGUUCUCUGUUUUCUUCUGCAAUUCACUCUUGAGUUUUGAGAUGUCUUCUUGGGCCAAACGCAGUUCAUAAUCACUAAUAGCUAACUUUUCCGUUGCCACUUCUUUCUCUUCAAACAAACUUUGAGGAUCUGCCACUGCAUUUCAAAAUAAAAAAAAUGGUGAAGAAAAAUUAGCAUCAUAUAAGGUACGGGAUUACAUCAAUCUGUGCCGAUUAUCUAAAAAAAGAAUAUCAAUCUACACCUAAAUAUCAUAUCUGCUCUUAUCAGUCAGGUUAGAUUACAAGUACUUGAGAACUGUGUUCUCAAAUAGCGGAUAUAGUAAGUCUAUAGCAUAGUGGAGUUCGAACAAAUUACUAUUGGUCUGUGAUACGCUGACGCUACUUAGUACAAUGUGUUGUCAAAUAGCAGCUACAACAGCGCUAUAUAACAAAUUACUGUUGUUCUGUGAUCCGUUAUUUAGUACAAAGUGUUGUCAAAUAUCAGAGUACAAUGUAAGUAUGGCAGACUACACCUAGAGUAGGUACACUUCUAUGUAACUAACUGUUACUAACUAGAGUUAGUUACAGUUGCAUAUACUCCCUCCGGUCACUAUUAUAAAAAGAAAUAUUCUCUUUUCAGGUUCAUUGAAUCGUUGAUGUAUCUGGUUUAUAGUAUAGUCAAGAUACAUCAGAUAUUGAAUGAAUCUGAACAAGGAAUCUUUGCUUAUAACAGUGACCAGAUAGAGUAACUUCUCGGAGUUAGUUACAGCUAGUUAGAUUUCUAGCAAUCUAUAAAUAGGAUCGAUGCACAUUGUAAUUAGUGAGAACUCAUACAUCAAAGAUCAAGCACAAAGUGCUCUCAGAGUUCUCUGAACGAUCUAUAAACUAUAUGUUCAACUUCUAACAUCAAAUAGCAGCUAUGGCAGUACUAUAGCGUAGCAGAAUUUGAACAAUCUGCUAAAUUUUUGUGAUCCACAGUUAACAACACUGCUUACAAAUCACUUCAUUUUACCUUUUCGCAUUCCGAAUUGAACUCCUCAAUUAACAAAUAAGCACAUAAUAUCAUACAAUCCAAUCCAAAUUCAAAGAUCUUAUCAGUCAAAUACACAGUAAAUUAAUACUAAAAAUAACUAAUAAGCAUGAUUCGUAUUCAUUUCUAUCAAAUUAUCCAGCGUUGACUGAAACAAUGAAAAAUUUAAUGGUGAAUCGUUACCUCGGAGAGAAUUGAGGCGAGAGAUUUGAUCGGCGGGAAAGAGAGAUUGAUCGGAGAAAUACUGUUUAAGUCGAAUAGCUUGAUCGUCGUGACCAUCGUCGAGAAGCUCGUGAAGAAGUUCAAAUGCUGUGAGAACGUAAUUCUCUUCUAACAGAAAGUUCACAACGCAAUUGCAAAGGGAUGAUCUAUCUACGUUCAUGUUUUCUGUUAGAAAUCCUCAGAUCAAAACCCUAAUGGAGUUUCUGAUCUGAGGUCAUUGAAUUCAAGAGUGAUGAAUGAAGUUGCAAUUUCAAAUGUGCGUUGUUGUUCAUGUGUGCUGGUUAGUUAGGUGACAUUUCACGUGUUCAGUUUUAUUUUUUAGUUUAUUUAUUUUCGUUUUUAUGGAAUUUGAUUGAUGAAUUGCGUCGGAAUGAAGACUCCGCAAGAAAUGGUGAGAAAACAAACAAGAUUUGUUUAGGGAUUUGGACACUUUCCAAAAGGGAGUUAUAUGUGACUUGAUCCACUUUUACACAAUCAACUUUUUACCGUUGAUUUAGGGGUGGUGUGUUAAUUUGGAAACUUAUAAUUUUUGAGUGAUGACAUGUGUUUACGCAUGUGAGAGAUCGGGGUGGCCGAGCAAAUCGUAUAUCGUUGCAAUUGUAUACUAUCAACAAUUUUGAUAGUUGAUUUGAGAUUGUUCGAUUCAAGUGACUUAAUCAGCAAUUUUUUUUAAAAGAUCUUGAUUAUUGAUUUAAAUCAGAUGAUUGAAAUCUAAAUUGUGUCGUGCAACAUAGAGAGUUAGAGUAUCUUGGCUCUUGUUCACUAUUGUACUCUUCAAUCAUCAAUAAAAAGAUAUAUAUUGCUUCCUAUGACUUAGAUAACACAACAUAGUCAAAAAAUAGUGUUGUUGAAGAUAUAUUGGGUUCUAUGUUGACACACUUUUCCAUAGGCAGACCAAAGAGUUGUUGGCCAAGAGGUUUUAAGUUAGAGAACCACUACAUUAGCUAGUCACAAUUUAAUACUUAAAGGUACAUAGUUUCAAUAGAGGAUACUUAUAAUUUUCUCCGACAUAAAAUAAAACGGAUUAAAGAGUUAAAGAUUCACCUUUUAUCCCAUUUAUAUGUAUCACCAUCAAUUAACUCGUCAAUCAUUGUUUUAUUUGACAAGUUCCCCACAAGCCAAUGAAUCUUUGGAUGUGGAUGAUCAUGGAUCCAAUCAACACUAAGAAUCUUGACAAAAUUCCCCCUAUUAAUCGCAAUAGACUUUUGUGUGCAUUUGUUGGCAUUUUGUUUUGACAACUAUAACAUUUGUCCUAGGACAAUACUUACUUUUGAAGAUCCUCACCAUUAGUUAUUUUUCGUCAUUUAGAAUCACCAUUUAUCAUUUGUUGCUCCCAACCUCUCCUAACUCAUCCAAUGCACGUUUUCUAUCUAUUUCUUUGAACCCCGCAAAUUUUUUUUGAUAAAACACCUUCAAUAGAAUUACAACAUCCUUCCUGGAGUUUAUUAGCCCAUGAUUUAGUUUCGAUUUGUUUGAGUCGGUGCCUUGAUUAUUGUUUCUUUUUCCGCUUGAGAGGGACAUUUUUCCUUCAACCUUUUGAUUUUCUUCCAAAACCUAUAUUGGACAAAUGAGAGUGUAUCGUUUUCGGACAUCCCAAAGAUCACAAAAAACUUAAGAUCUAUAGAAUGAGUUGUACGCUCUUUACAUUAAUCUUUUGGCAUAUAAUUUAUUGCUCAAUGAUAUGAACAUUUGGAUAAUAUGACACCUUAACUUUGGUUUGAGGCUGCUUCAUUGGUAUUUAGAAUUGAUGGAGUUGUAUCGACUUAUUUCAAGUUGGCUCUGACAAAGAGAAGAUUGCCGUUUGCAAAUAAAAUGUGAGUGAUUUUUUGUGACCUUCCUUGCAACUUGUAUCCCAUGGAUAUUUGUUUCCUUUUCCUCUUUAAGGAGCAGUAAUGACAACACAUUUGUGCAAAUGACGAAGAUGUAGGAAAAAAUGAGGUCAUUUUUCUUAACCCAUUCUCUAUAGUAAAAUCUUUGCUAAACUGAUCGUGGAAAUGCAUCCCAAAAUUGAUUUAGUCAAAGUGGAAUUGAACCCCAUGAAUAGAAGCAUAGAUCGUACAAAAAAUCAUUUAAUACAAUCGUAAGCCUUUGCCAUAUCUAGUUUCAUUAUCAUCAUUCCCUUCUUUCACUUAGUCUUCUUCUACCAAUGAAAAUACUCGAUAGCUAUCAAUGUAUUAUAGUGAUUAGCCUAUCUUGACAAAAGCACUCCAUUCUUUACUCAUGCAAUGAUGGGUUUAAUGCAGUUGACAAUUGGUUUUCUAACAAUUUUUGUCACUAUAUUGUAGAAGCUUAUAUCGAAUAACUCUUUUAGUGAGGAAGUAUUCUUGCUCUUGGGAAUCAAAACUAUGAAGAUUUUGUUGCUGUUGACGACUUAUCAUCAUUAAUGAUCUCUAGUUCGAAGGACUUGCCUUCAUUGCUAAUUAUGUACCGAUAUUUAUAAGAAAACAUAAAGUUAAAAGUCUAUUUAGGUCACAUUUCUUCAAGGGGUGCACUUGGUUAAGAACCUAUCUAAUCUCCUAAUAUAUAAGUUGCAAUCAAGUUAGAAUAUUUGUUCCUAUGCCAAUUUAAAUCUUGGUCGUUAAUGACGAUAGUAAUUUUCUUAAUGAUAGAAUGAUGAUUUCUAAAUAAAAAAGAGUUUGUAAUCAAUUUUUUUCUUUUAAAAAGUUUGUCAGUAAAAUUUGCAUCAUGAAAAAACUGGACCAUAAUUGCCUGCAAUGAACUUUUGACUCGAUGACACAAUCAAUACAUUUGUGGUUCAUAUUGUUCAAUCUAAACUGUUCGAUUUUGAUCAAAUAGUCACAAGUGUGCUUACCGUGUCAUUCGAUUUAAAAAAAACUAGGUUCACUAAUGUGGCACCUAAAAAUCAAACAAGGUCUCUAAUGGGAACCCAAACACACUAGUGAUUGUAAUUUGUAAAAAUCCCCCUUCAAAAGCAUAUAUUUGGCCACACUGGUUGUUUGUUGUUACACAUACAGAAGUAGAUGGUUUUGCAUUUGGAGAUGUGGUCGAUAAUUGGGCCAAAUAUUUCGUGUGGCAAAGAAAUUGCUUUAUAUUAGUGACAACUUAGGAAAUGUCACGGUUAAUUGAAACCAUAGCCUAGAAGUUAUAACAUUCUUCUUCAACCGUUGUCGCCUUGUUGAGCUUCAAUGCGAUGCAAUCAUUAUCAUUGCAUGUUACCAUCGCAAGCUGAUAAAGUCUACCUUUUCCCACUGCAGAAAAUUCAUUGAAUAUACUCCCCCGUCCCUAAAUAAGUGACAUAUUUCACCAUUUCACACAGAUUAAGAAAAGUGUAAAGAUGAAAGAAAGAGAGUGAUACUUUUACUGAGUUGCCCUUGUCAUUAUUUUGAAACUUUUUCACUUUUAAAAAAUGAUUACUUUCUUUGUUUCACUAUAAACUUUAACAUGAGGACCACAAAAAGUAUAUAUAAGGGGUAAAUCUGUCAAAUUUUGCUUAGAAAUCUGAGAAGGUCAAGUAUUGUGGGACAGAUAUUUUUUACAAAUAGGUCACUUAUUCAGGGACGAAGGGAGUACAAUACAUAAAACCAAUAUUCUUAAGAAAAUGAUAACGAAUAUCCUCGAACACUUUUAAAGAUUAUAAAUGGUAAAUUUUUGAGAUGGUUUAUGUAUUUAGUGCAUUGAGAAUUGAAAUGUUUAACUUUUUUUUUAAAGAAUAAUGACUUAAUCUAGAAUGUUUAAAGAGUAUUUUCAUGAACACUUUAUUAGCAAGACACUUAUUUUUACAUACAAGUGUCCAACCAAUGGUCUAUAAAUAAAUUAAGGUUAAAUAAGAUUUUAAUCUAUGUAAUUAUAUCUUAUUUUGUUUUAGUCCUUUAUAAAUUGUUUCUUCAAUCAAUGAUCCUUCAACAUUUUUUAUCCUUAAUUUGUAGGUUGGUUAACUCAUGUGUAUAUUUCAAAUUUUUGACCGGUAUUUUUGCAAGUAUCUUUAGAAUAAUAUAACAAUCUUUCCCACAAAAACGUAAAAUACUACAUAAACUUUGACUUAAAAGUAGAGACAAAUUGUUUUUUUAAAGGAGCAAAGACAAAAAUAUUGACGAAAAAUAUUUGAAGGACAUUGUUUGAAUGUUUUUUAGCGGGACUAAAUAAAAAAUAUUUUUAAGACUAAAUUUUUUAUUAAUCCAAUAUAUAAAUAUUUAAAUAUAGAUUUGGUUCUAAAAAAAAUAUUCAUUUGUUUUUCAUCUCUGUAAAUAUACUACUUUUUGUUUUAAUCCUUAGCAAAAUCUAUUCAUAAUAAAAUUAGUCAUUUUAAUAUGUAGAUAAUUUAAUUUUAAUCCUUUAAAAUAAAAACUAAAAUGAAUAUUUCAAGGAUCACAAUUUUAAGUUGAUGUCAAAUAACAUUUAUAAAUUUUAUUUUAUUAAAGAAACAUUAGCUGUCCCUUGUCACAAGUUACACUAUUAUCUCUUUCAAAAAAAUAAGUUACACUAUUAUCUUGAAGCAGACAAAGAAGUGAAUUUAAAACCAAAAGUGGUCCUAAGCAAAAAUUGAAAGAUGAAAAAAUUGGGACCUAAAUAUAUAUAUAAAGAUAAAAUCUAUACAGAAAAUUAGAUAGUGACAGGUAGUGAUGUGUCCAAAACCAGUCACAACCAGUCAUUGAUACUCCCUCCCUCUUCUUGUUACAUCCCUUCUUGUUAAGACAUUUGAACUUUGAAUUCUCAACCACAUAUUUUUAUUUUUCAUGUAACUAUUCUCCAAUCACAGUCUCAACCUCUCAGGUAUGGUAUUUACUUCCUCUAUAAUGUUAUCACUGUUACAAUAUUUCAAAAUAGCCAGACAACAAUGAUUAGCUUUAUGCUAAUACAAGGUGAUUGUUUAUAGGAUAAAGGAGAAGUGAUAAUUUACUUAUAGUUAUUUGAAUUUAUUCCUUCAGUUUUGACAAAAGAUGGAUGAUACUAAAGUUGGUAUGAGAAGAGUUAGAUCAGUUAAAGAUGUUAUUAGUCUAUAUGAUGAUAGGAAUCAUAGGACUGCUGAUAGUUCUUCAUUGAAGAAAACUCAGAUAGACUUCGAGGCGGAUUUCUCAGCGGUAAGUUCAGAUUUUUUUCCACAAGCUUUCUAGAAUAGAUUAUAAAAACAACUUAUAGCUCAUGUGGAAUCGAAUUUUGACUUUGUUCUAGAAAUAGGUUAUAGAUCAUAAGUGCUUAAUUAAGUUGUUUAUCCAAACAGAGUCAUCUAAUAUUGUAUAUGCAUUAUUAUUGAGGCAUUCUUUUGUUAACUUUUUCAGUUUUUUUCUUUUUCUUUUUCUUUGUAUUCUCACAUAUUCUUCAGAACCCUACUUCAAGAACAAGAGAACUACACCAAGCUAGACGAGACAUUGGAAGGUACAAAGAGAGUAGAUGGACAGCAGAAUCUGCAAAAUCUCAAGCAGAAUCUGAGCUUUCAAAUGCUAAAAAGACAAUGAAAAAUCUCUCUUCUAUGAUUGAGGAAUCAAGUUACAAGGCUAAGGCGAAAAUGAAGGACAUAGAAACACUAGAGAAGAAGGGAAAAGGUCAACAUGGUGUUAUGGUUGUAAGGAGGAAUGAGAAUUAUGAGUAUGCACAAGUGAUGAGAGAAUUGGAAUAUCUCAAAAAGGAAUUGUUUAAGCUAAAGCUUGACGUGGCUUCUGUUUUGCAAGAGAAAUCGCGGGCCGAGAAAGAAAUCGAAGCAUCAAGCUCAAAGAUGAUUGAUUGUUCAAAAAAAGAAGAAGUACUUAGAAAGGAGAUUGAAGAAGCCAAUGAAGAACAAGUACUUGCUGAAUUGGCCAGGAUUGAGGCUUUGAAAGAGUUGGAGGAUAUUAGAGUUCAAAGAGAAAGAGAAGCAAAUGAGUUUUCAUUCAAAUUGGAAAACACAAGAAAAACGUUAAAGGAGGCCACGGAAGAGAUAGACAUAUCAAAGGAACUUGAAAUGAAACUAGCUAUGACAGUUUCAGAUGUUGAUCUGUUGCAGAUUCAGUUGAGUUUGGUCAAAGAAAUGGAGAAAAGGGUUCAAGGAGAUGAAAGUGUGAAACUAUUGGAAGGAAGUUUAAGAAAAGGUGACGAAUCAGGAGACUCUACCGAGUUACAAACUGUAAAGGAGGAACUUGAGGCCGCAACGAAAGAAUUAGCUUUGAUUAGAGAUGAAGGUUUUCAGUUUAUGGCUUCUAUGGAUGUUAUAAGAAAUGAGCUGAAGCAUGUAACUAAGGAAAUAGCUCGCUUGAAGAAAAACGAUUCAUCGGUUCAAAAUCUCAAUUCAAAGGUUCUAAGAACAAAAUCUAAGCUAGAAGCUGCAUCUGCUGCAGAGGAAAAAGCAAGAUCAUUAGUAGUUAGUCUAUCUCAUUCUCUUGAGACUCUGAAGAAAGAAACAGAUGAAGCUAAAACGGAAAAAGAGCUCAUAUCUCAAGAUAUUAUAACAACUAAGUUGGAAAUUGAAAAAACCGAGUUUGAGAUUGAUACGAGUGAGGAAAAAUUGCAAGGCGUUAUGAAAGAGUUGGAAGAAGCAAAAACAACUGAAGCUUUAGCUUUGGAGAAGCUUAAAACACUUUCUGAGACUACCAUGAAAGAAAGAGCUUUAACAGCAAAACAUAGUUCAUCGAUUACUAUCUCCAAAUUUGAAUACGAGUAUCUAACUAAUCAUGCAGCUGCAGCAGAAGAACUUGCUGAUAAAAAAGUUGCGGCAGCUGAGGCAUGGAUUGAAGCGCUCAAGGCGAGUGAGAAGGAAAUACUAAUGGAAACAAAAAUAGUUCAAAGAGAACUCAAAGAAAACAUUUUGAAGGAAGAGAGGGAGGUUUACAUCAAAGAGAAGAUGGCUGCAAGAAGAGUUAGUAGUGAGGAGUUUGAUAGAACAAGAAAACGCGAAAAGGGUUCGUCGCAGAGAGCUAUUUCUAGAAAGAGUAUUAAAUCAAAUGGAAGUAUGACUCCUGCUAAAAGAAUCAAGUUUCAGAAGUCUGCUGCUUCACCCGCAACUCGGCACAUUAGUCCUUUCACUCUUAAGAAGAGAAAGAAAGUUAUCCCGAAUUUGGCAAAGUUAUUCAGUAGCAAGAAAAACACUAUGCCUAAAGAGUAAAUUCAACGUCAUUGUUUUAAAUUCCGGUCUACAAUCGCAUGCACAAUUAGAUAUAAAAUUAGUUAUGUCACUACCAGCUGAUAUAACUAACUUUAUAUCUAAUAUGCAAGGUGAAGGAUUUUCAAGCCUUGGCAAAUAGAACUUCAUCAUUGCUAAAUUUUAAUAGCAGGGUAAAGAGUGAGGCAAACAUAUCUAUUUGUAACUGAAGUAUAACUCUCACUACAGAAUUCAAGUUAUUUUUUCUCUUUUCUCUUCCAUUUUUAUACAGUAACAUUUUCUAUUGGCUUUAGUGUUUUUCAUUAUUGUUACAUCCGUAAGAGUUUUAUAUCUUCUUUUAACUUGAAAAAUAAUUGGCUUUCUACACUUGUAUUGUAUGCUUGCAAAAUUGAUUUUAAAAGAUGAUGUAAGACAUUGGCUUACUACAUCAUGUUACAUUUUUGCUAUAAAUACACCUUAUAUUCUUUUGAACUAUAUAAAAUGAUUGAUAAUUGAUGUGUGGUGCCAUUUAGAAUGCAAGGCACUCUUAGCACGAGAUAAUGAGAACCACUUACAUAAAAAUUGAUACCAUGUGCAGAUAAGGACUUUAUUACUUGUUUCAAAGGAAAAAAAGUUGUUUGAUUUGUUCUAUAAAUGAGAAAUUUCGUGGAAGUGGAGACAAUGAGGCUCCUUCAUCAAGGAAAUUGUUGAUCUAAUGCAAUGACAAACAAACAUAUAUCCUUCCAAUUUAUAAGCAUAAAUAAACAUGAUUACCACAUGUGGCACGAACUUCUGGAUACAAAUAUAAAUAAAUUAUUUAAAUUAGAGAUUUUACUGAUGCUUUUUAAAAAAAUAUCGACUAACAAUCAUAUAAAAUUUAGACAUAGUAACAGACAAUCAUAUAAAAUUGAGAGAUAGAAACUAGAAAGAAUAGUCCCGUGAACAUAGCUCAGUUGGUGGACAAUGCAUUAUUAUAUGCAGGGGACGAGAUUCGAACUCCGGACACCCCACUUAUUUACUUUAUAAGGUGAAUUCUGUAACAAAAAAAAAAAGAAACUAGAAAGAAUAAAAGAUUUAAACUGAAAAUAAGAUCGUAUAGUUAGUUAAAUUGAGACGAUAAGAUAGUGAGAAAAAAUUAGUAAAAAUAAUGAAAUUAAAAUUGUUUAAACUUAGUUUUUUUUUUAUUUAUUAUUUAAAAUAAACAAACUUGAAAAUGAGUAUGUGCAUUGAUUUGCAAAGAUAUCAGGCCUUUUCUGAAUCCUUUUUUUUUUUUCCUUUUUCCUUUUUUCUACUCAAAUUGCAAAGUUAAGCUAACUUCAAGGUGUGAUAUAAAAAAAAGGUUAAAAUAUGCAUUUCAUCCCUGCAAAUAUAGUCCAUUUGAAAUUUCAUCCCUAAAUUUACUAAUCCUCCCAUUCUUUCCAUGCAAUUGUUAAUCACUUGAAAUUUGGUCCUAAUUACAUUUUUUUGCUGAGGUGGCAUGUCAUUACACGCAUGGCAGCGAUGUGGCGGACGCUGAGUGGGUUAUGACAGUGAUGACUAGGCAAAAGCCAUCAGAAAUGACCAUGUUACCCUUAUUGGAACCAGAACAAAGCAAAAUUACUAUAAUACCCCCGUCUCCUUCUUCCUUCUCCAAGACAUAUGUUCAAUCUCUUUUCUUCUUCUUUCUCCAUAAACGGCCUAAAAAACGCAAGUCCAAACACCAGUCGAGUAAUCCAAAACGAAAUUUCUGCCACAUCGAUGACACAAACAGAUCUAACAACCAUAUAUAAGUUCGUCGAUGGAUUUGAGUUUGACGGUGGCGCCGACGAGUGUGUCGCAGUCAGAGACUUUGUUGAGCUUCAAUAUGUUGACUCGUUUAUCCUAAUUCCACAUUCCCAUUCACAAGCAUCGAUUCGUGCUUCCAAUUUGCGCUUGUAUCAAUGAAUUUUUUAUUCCGAUUCAUGUACUUGCUUACAGGUGAGAUGGAGAAAGCAUUGGGGUCGUCUGUUUGUAUCAGGAAAAUAAAAAAAAGGAAGUCAAACCAGCGUUUUUGAUUCCCCUUUUCAAUGAAGUGGUUCUGCAGGACGACAAUGGGGAUGGUGGUGGUUGCAGGAUGUAGGCGCGGCAACAAGAGGGUCUUUGAAGGGAGAUGGGUUUUCAUAUGGGUUGACGAAGCGGAUUUGAGAUGCUAUAAAAAGGGUCGGCGACAAUAACGCUAGUUAUGAUUCGAUGACGAAGAAGGAAGAAGGUGAUGGUGUAGGAAAUUGGUUCGAUCCAUUAAGGAAGAAGGAAGAAGAAGAUUUAAGCGGAGGAAGAAGAUGAUUUCAGAGGAGGAAGAAGAAGGGAAAUAACGUCUUUUCCAUGCUGGUUUGAUUCAUUAAGGGCAAUUUUGUCUAUUCAUGCCAUUUUGUUUGAGUCAGCAGUGUUAUGGAACAGUCAACAGCUGACACGUUGCUAAUUACCCUCCACCUCAGCAAAAAAAUGUGAUUAGGACCAAAUUUCAAGUGAUUAACAAUUGCAGGGAAAAAAUGGAAGGAUUAGUAAGUUUAGGGAUGAAAUUUCAAAUGACCUAUAUUUGCAGGGAUGAAAUGCAUAUUUUAGCCUAAAAAAAAGGAGUGGCAUUAUGGCACAACAAUCGACCAUGCCCUUUUCUCCCCCAAUAAUUAAUAUAUAUAUUUUUUUUUUAUAAUUCUUUAGCUCAAGUUGUUAAUGAAUUUCAACACAAUUUAUAUAGAAGAAUUAGAGUUUUAAUUCAUUAAAAGAAACAAUAUUUUAUUUUACAAUAAGAGUAUUAAAAAAUGUUGUAUGAAAAGGGUCUUUUUCUUACUACUUUCGUUUUUUGUUUUGAUUGAAUCAUACGAAAAACAGGAAAUACAAUCAUAAUUCAUAAUAAUGUGAUUCCAUUUCAGGUAAACACAACACAACUGCCUAUCAUCCUGUCCCCUCUCUCUAAAUUCUUAAUCUAUUAUAAUACUGGUACUAUAUUUUAUUUAUUUUGUGUUGAUAAAUAAAUUGAAAUUGAGAUCCCUUUUAUUUAUUUUACCUCUUUCCAUUUUCAGGUCUCAUUUUCAAUCUCUUUGAAUGGUUUUCUUUGCUGCUUCAAACUUCUUCUAACUAUGGCUUGGUGGAAUUUCUUAAGACCCUUCUCUCGUUUUCAGGUCAGUGAGCUCACAUCUCUAUGCAUUUCUAUACUUUCUUCAUCAAAAUAUACCAACCUCCUCAUGUAUAUUAAUCAAUCCUCUCAAGAUUCUCCCAUGCCAAUUUUUGUGUUUGCUCUGCUUGGAUGGUGAGGUUGGUCCUCCAAAUCAGACUGUCCUAGUGUCAGAUACCGAGUUGUUCAUAUUUGGCGUCCAACUACUAUCCCAACCAAAUUAACUCCGGUUCACCAAAAAGUUAAUAUUGCGAAAAAUUAUGAGUCAAAUUAUUAAGAAAUAUUUAGAGACCAAUUAAGAACUUUACGGUGUUUAACAAACUAUGUAACUAAACUUAAACAAUUUAGUGGAAAAAGGCUUGAUUGUGGUUAUAGUAUAAUCCAUAGAUUUUGAUGUGCAUCUUUAGUUACUAUUUAUAUGGUCUAGUUACUGUUAUACCCAUGAUUCAUGUUUAUAGUAAUGUUUGUUUGCCUUGCCGAAUCAUGUUUUAGAAAUUGGUAUGCUUAUCUGUUCAAUAGAAGAACGAGCUGGUGCAUCAGACUGUUUUGAUAUCAUAUCUUGCUGCUUUUGUAGUUGACACGAGAAUCAGCACAAUGUUGUCCUUUUUCUGGCUAAAUUUUGUUCCCUACAUAUAUAAUACAUUUGCGUGCCUUUAGUUCGUUGUGUUAUGAUCCUUUCCUGAUAGGAGGAAUUUAAGUUAAUUGAGGUAUGAUGUUUUCGGAGUCAUGUAGUUCAUCAUUUACUUUUCUAGAAGGUGAUUUGAUUAAUGAAUUCUUGGCUUGAGCUUAUAACUCUUUUGAGCUUAUCUAUCUUUUUGUGAGAAUUGUGAUUCAUGUAAACUGAUGCAUUAUGCUUCGCUUGACCGUUUUUCCCUUUAGGAUAGUGACUUCAUUUUGUCAUUAAACAUACACAUACUAAGUAAAAAGUUAUAGCCAGAUAUGCUGGAAUUCCAUGUGAAUAAAUAGAAUUCAGAUUUCAGGAAUGUUUAAGAAUCUUAUGUGUUACACAAAGGAUUUUUAUAUUUUGCUGCAUUGUUCAGCUUUCAUAUAUAUAUAUAUAUAUAUAUAUAUAUAUAUAUAUCCCUUGUGGUAAUAAAAACAAGAAAAGAUAGAACUAAUAAUGAGGUAUUUUCAUGAAGUUUUAAGAAUCUGGGUAUUUUCAUGAAGUUUGUCCCUGAAAGUGUUUUUUUGAGAUUACCUAGGAUAUAUGGAGGAGUCUGGGGUUCUCUGCUAUGACUGGUGCUCAUUUUUCAUCCGUUAGUUUUCCAUUGAUAGACACAAAAAAUGAAGAGGUAUACAAUUUAAUUAACAUUUUCAAUAUCGUCUCAGACCAAAUAUAUAUGAGUAUAACACUCUAACUUGAUUCUAGUAUUUUCUUAAAGAGGUAGUUGUGGAAGAGGGAUUGAUAUUCAUUUGUGAAUAAGACUAUGUAUUCUCCUAUAUCUGUAUAAUAACUAGAAUUCGCCAAACUCUUAUCUAUACUGCUUUCUGUCAGUCAUCAGUUUAAAAUAUGUUGCAUAUUUCCAGCUUGUAGUUGAUUCAGAUUGUUUGCUAUGUUUUUUAAGAUCCUUGCUAGAAAGAUAGGACUUAUGCAGCUUAUGAAAUUAUUCUUGACUUUUAUUAGUGAAGAAAUUCCCCAUCUAACUCCAGUACUCCACCAUAUUGCCUUCUCUGUGGAUUUAGACCAGUUUCCUAGUGCACUUUCACCUUUAAAUAUUCCAAUUCUAAUUCACAGAUUUUGAGGGAAUAUGUCUACAAGUGUGUCAAUUGCAUUAUCCUUGUAUUGUAUCAGUAUAUGAAACGUGUCUACAUGGUUGAUAAUUGCAUUAUCGUUGUAGCAGUAUAUGACGAUAGAUUAUAUACAGCAUGUUACCAACAAUUCAAAUUUUGCAGAAAAAUGCUCUUAUUUUAUUUUAUUAUUUGCUUUGUUAUAUUGAAAUGAUGGACAUGGUGCUUAUCAGAGAUUGAAAUAUGAUCCGAGUUAAAAGAGAAAACUCCUCACAGCUAGAGGAUGUCUUCUCUGCUAACGGUCUAAUACUAGGACUACUGAAUAGAAAUUAUCAAUGGAAUGCAUCCUAACUCCUUACAAAAUGGUGAUGAAGUUAUAGAAGAAAACAAUGAUAAACCUCAUAGGAAGGAACCCUGCACCCUUUUUUCAGACUUUCCCAACCAAAAAGGCCUCACAAUUCUGGCCUACGUCUAUUAAUCCCACCUCUUGAAUAUAUAGAAAUGACUAUCUCUUUCUCUCCACUCAUAAAAUGCCAUUCUCUUUUAUGCCCCUAGCAGUUUUCCUCCAUCCCAGACUCCAAUCUGUCGCAAAAUCAGAAUAUUAUACCAUUUAUUCUGUUUCCUUUGUUAUUACCCCCUCUGUCCCAAAAUAAGUGUCGUUUAAGAUUGUUUCUCAAAGAUUAAGAAAAACAAUGAACUAAUAAAUAAAUGUUACAUUUUUACAAAAAUGCCCCCAUUAGCUAUUGGUUAUUAUCAAUUAUCGUAAAUGCAUAGUGAGAUUUGACAACUAGAAAGUAGUGUACACAAUAUUAGUUAGGGGUAAAUUUGAAAUAAAUUAAUUAAUAUUGCAUUAAAAUAGUAAAAUGACUCUUAUUUUGGGACAAGUUGUUUUUUGUUGAAGUGACACUUAUUUUGUACGGAGAUAGUAUAUUUUUAGAAAGUCUUUUAUUGUUAAUAACUUUUAAUUAUGUUAUGAAUUCUGUAAUUAAUGUAGGAUUCUAAUUCUUUGCAUAUUAAAGAGAGAAAAACUCUCUAUCAAACUUAUUUCACUAUUACCAGCAACUGAUCUCAACUGUGGUUUUUCUGAGAUCUAGGAAUUCAGACAGAUGGAAGCCCAGCUUGGUGCACACACUAUGAGAUCUCAUGGAUAUGCAGUUGCUAAAACACAUUUACAUGAUUGGAUCAUUCUAUUGCUCCUUGUAUUUAUUGAAAUCAUGUUAUACUUGAUCUAUCCAUUCUAUCGCUUUGUUGGGAAGGAUAUGAUGUCUGAUCUCAAAUAUCCACUGAAGAGUAAUACAGUUCCUGUCUGGGCCGUUCCUGUAAGUUCGCUGAUUAAGAUAUAACACAUGUAAAUGUAUCUUUCUUCCUGAAUAAUUACUCUAACAUUGUCUUUUACUAUCAUGGUUAGAUGCUUGCAGUUGUAUUGCCUAUCGUGAUCUUUCUUGUUGUUUAUAUCCGAAGGAGAGACAUCUAUGAUCUUCAUCAUGCCGUACUGGGUAUUAACUUUUAAAACCCUUUAUUUGUUUGAUUUCUAAGAAACAAACUCUAUUUGCUAAACUGGAACAGUUAAAGUGGAUGACAAGAAUUUAUUUUCUGGUAUAGGUCUACUGUUCUCCAUUUUAGUAACGGCAGUGAUAACUGAUGCAAUAAAAGAUGCAGUAGGGCGACCUCGACCAGACUUCUUCUGGCGAUGUUUUCCAGAUGGAAAGGAUGUAUGUCUUCCUUGAAUUUUAUUUAGUUCAUGUUUGUUUGAUAGAUUCCCUGGUCAAAGGCAUAUUUAAUUGUUAAUGACUUCUUUUUAGGUUUAUGAUAAAUUGGGAGAUGUCAUUUGUCAUGGUGACGAGAGUGUCAUAAAGGAAGGACAUAAGAGUUUCCCAAGCGGCCAUACUUCAUGUAUGUAGCAUUUACUACUUAUGACUGGUUUUGCCAUGCUCAUAACUUAGUGUAAUUAAGUUUCACGAGAAAUGGAUGGUUGAAUUAAUAAACUCAUGCAAAGCAUGUUUACUUGAAUUUCACUUUAUUCACUGUUUGUUUAAGCAAUUCCAAUUUACAUAUGCAGGGUCAUUUGCUGGUCUAGGUUUUUUAUCAUUGUACUUAGCUGGAAAACUAAAGGCAUUUGAUCGCAAAGGUCACGUUGCAAAACUUUGCAUUAUUUUUCUACCACUACUUGCUGCAUCACUUGUUGGCAUCUCUCGAGUUGAUGACUACUGGCACCACUGGACGGACGUGUUUGCUGGAGGUCUUAUAGGUUAGUCCAUUUAUCACAUCUCAAUUAGUUGCAAAUUAACUUAGUCAAACCGGAAAUAGAUAAAACUACUUUUAGUGUUUGUUGGUACAUGACUAUGUGAGAUUUCUUCUUUCAGGGCUUGUAGUAGCUACUUUUUGCUAUUUGCAGUUUUUUCCUCCUCCUUAUCAUCAUGAAGGUAUGCCUCUGUGCAGAUUCUUUUAGAUAAUAUUGCAUAAUGUAUUGGAAAAUGUUUGUUUUCAAGUCUUUCUAUAUGCAUUAUUACUAUACUCCAUUUACAUGUGCUUUGAACUUUUCACCUCAUUAUACACCUUUUUCUAGAGGUUUUGGCUCUUGACACUAAUUCAAAACCAAUUGCAUACCUAGAUACGGCAGACAUUAAUUCAAAGAUUUUUAUAUAUCUGUAUUAUAUGAUAAUGGGGAGAAAUAAGCACUAUAGAUAUGUUUCAUAUUUGACAUAAUUCAUGGUUCAAGUUCAUCGAAAGUUAUGGUGAAUAAUCACGACUUAAAACAAUUUCCUGUAAAAAAAGACCAAGUUGAUGAAUUUAAUUCUGUUAUGAACUAUGGUGACAAGUUGACAACCAUCUGAUGUUGUAGAUAAUAUAUUGUUAUUCUCUGCAGGUUGGGGUCCUUAUGCUUAUUUCAGGACGUUGGAAGAAACUAGAGGUAUGACACAAGCUCCUAAUGCUCAAAAUGGUAAUCAAGCACAAUUGGCCCAAUUAACAGAAGCUCAAGUUGAGAACCAGGAGGGACAAAGUCACCAUGGGUGCAUGGGGUUAACUUUAACAGGAAAUGGGAAUCCAACUUCAACAUUAGAAGAUGAACUUGAAUCAGGGAGAAGAUAAAUUUUGUAUAUGUUAAGGUCUUGCUCUUUGUAAAUCAUAUCCUAGUAUGUUUUCUACACGGUUGUCACUACUAACUUUGAAGCAUGCUUAUUUUUGUCUAUAAGAGUCAAAUUUGGAACAAGCUUUGUUAUAAGAUUCCUCUAUUAAUCUACUUGAUAGCUGAUUUAGUGGCUGUUUGUUUUCGUGGUGGAUCAGAUGUUGAACGCCCGUCAAAGUGGAAGUUACAACUUGUAGCUUUUAUCAAAUUACGGUAAAAUUACAUCAGUGCGUGAUUUGAAUUGUACAAAAGCUUAACCAAGCAUAAGCUUAUUCAAACACAAUUUCAUCAUGAAAAAUAAAAUGAAAAUACAAUGUUACCAAAAAAUUUGAAGCUGAUAUUUUUAAGUGAAUUGAAUUUUGGUAAAAUGACAAUGCCUUUUUUUUUAAAAAAAAAAAACAGAUAUAGGCAUGUAAAAGAAUCUCAUUAUGCUUUUUUAUUUUAUUUUCAACGAACGCAAAUUUAUAAGAAUUUGUAUUUUUGCAUAUAUUAGAUAGUUUAUUAGAAGAUUUCAUACUGGGUCAAUGCUCAAUCCUAUCAUACUCUUCGUCCACCUCUGGUACCAGUAGUACGCAUUCAACCUGCACAUCACAAUGGCUACAGCCAUAGGAUCCUUGUGAUCUCAAACGCCUCCCAGCACUCAAUAGUCUCCCAACGGUCACCGAUUUCCUCCAUUGAAAAUGGUCGUUUGUAACGGUUUUACCGAACUCCCCAAUGAAGAUCUCCUCAGCCAUAUAAAUAUACCCCUUCACUACAAAGCAAUGUACAUUAAUCUCUACUUAAAAACCUCUCACUCUUGCUCUGUUAGUAUUGACUUGAGCGUCAGAUUGUAUGCACUUUGCAGGUAUACCCAAUUUCCAACUCGGAGAUUGUUAUUCAAGCUUGACCGACCAUUCUUGAUCAUUUCCAAUUAGAAGAGAAGCAAGCAGAUUUAUAAAUAAAACUAUAACAAAUGUUUGCUAAAAUAAAAUGAAGCUAUUGCAAGGGUGUAAAAUUAUUGAGUUUUUUUAUGUGGUACCGGUUGUUCUGAUAAAAUAUCAGCAUCAGGUUCAAGGUUCAUGGAUUAAAUCAAAUCAAAUAAACCAUAUCAUCUCAUAUUGUACAAAUGUGCCGCUGGACAAUCAAUUUUCCACAAUUCAACAACAAAAGCAAAAAACAAAAGCAUAAUAAGACAAUGUUUGGGAAACAAUGAAAAAACUACAAUCAUAACUGAAAAACAAUGGUUUUGUUAGUAUCAGAAAAACUCUUCCUAGAUUUUGCAGACUUACGUGUCUGAUAAUCAAAACUGUAACCAAUUCCUUGACCAAAACCAUAUCCAAUACCCAAUCCACAACCCAUUCCAAGACCAAAAACGAGGUUAAGAUGAUUGAAGGGCCCACCUCCUCCUCCAUAUCCAAACCCACCAAGCAAACCGAAACCUAUUCCAGCACCGCAUCCAAAGCCAGCUCCGAAGCCAGGACCCAAUAAUGAUGUUUGAGGUUUUUGGGGUUUAGUUCCGAGGAUUUUGGUGAUUGAGAAUUGGUUUUGUUGGUUGUUGUUGGGAUUCCAUGGCCACGAUGAAUCAGUGGUGGAUUUGGAUUCCAUUGCUUCGUGAAUGGUUACGAAUGGCCAAGACGAAGGAAAAAAAAAAUGGUGCUCACUUGAUGUUUCCGCCAAGGGAUAGGGUUUAUAAUUUGUGUUUUGGGUGUUUAUUUAUCACUUUCCUCUACUCUAAAAUGUAAUAUCCCUCAUUAUGUAUAAUUAAUCAUUAAUAAAAAAUCAAUUUAGUUUUUUUUUUUUUUUUUUAAGGAAUCAAGGGUUAAUGUAUGAUUACCUAAUGUAGACGAGUUUCAAUUUUCGCGUGUAUUAUUUUCUUUUCAUGUGGAAAGGUUUUGUAAUUAUGAUUUUACGUAUGGAUAAUUCUCAAUUUAGAAUAAGGUUAUUUGAAAAUAACUCUGACUCUAACUGUGUAACUAAGUUGUUGUUGUGACGAACUCAACCAACAUUUUUUGUUUAUGUGGUACGCUAACUAAUUUUUUUAAUUGAUAGAAGCAAGAUCAGAGUCUUUCUUUCCCAAACCUUAGUCAUCACCACACCUAUCUUCUUUUUAUUUAUAAAAGAGGGGUGAUGUAUGGUCAAUUUUGAUCAAAAUCACCUCUCUUAAUUGUUUUUCCUUCUUUUUUUAGUUAAAUAAAUGAUUUUCAUAUAUUUUCAGUAUUUAUUCGUUUGCUUUAGUGAUUUCGUCAUCUUCGCACGACUCUGUUUGUUUUGAUUUUCCGUCUUAGUGUAGUAUUUAUUUGAUUCAGAUUGAAAGAUUAGCUUUGAAUAAGUGUAUAUACAAUCAAUGAUUUUGAUGUCGUCAAUGUUGCAGAUCUGAAGGCAUAAGUAUUCAUGAACGAAACAUUUUACCCUUAAUGAAACCAGACAAUAGCGAAAUGACAAAAUUACCCAAGCCUUCUUUAAAAAGCAUAAACCUAGAAAUCCUUCAUCUUCAACCUAAACACAAACCCAUAAGAAAACUAAAAAAACAAGUCCAAACAAUGAUUGUUUAGAAAGAUUGAUAAAUUCAAUGACGAAAACUCAAAUGACGUAUAUUUGCGGUGAUAAAUUACAAACAUAAGCUUAAAUUAUUUUACCUCAGAAGUUUAGUAUGUAAUCAAGUAUCUUGUAACACUUUUUAGUGAAAAAAAAAAAGUAUUUUGUAACACUUUCCUCAAAAGCAAAAUACUCGGGGUUGAUCCUCUCCAACUCCAUAUAUCUUAGCUUGUAACACUCUUUUCCAAUAUUCACAAAUGAGUGUCACAAAUUUCUAAAAUCAAUUUCACAACGUCAAAUUUAAUUAUCAUAUAUGGAUAUGCUAUUGCUAGUUAACUUUUGAAAAGAAAUUAAACAAGGUACUCAAUUUUUUUCUUCUCAAAAAUAGUAACUUUUGUUUUUUUGUUUUAAAAGAAAAAUUGAAGGUGAAGUAGUAUGCAAAAUACAUAAUAUGCAUCAAUUUAAUAUGUCGCAUAGUCAAAUACCAAACCCGUAGGCUUAAUACAAACAUUGAUCAACAUAGUUAAACAUUUUAAAUCCAGAAUCUUCAAAAUACUUAAUAUGCAUCAACUUAAUCUUCAAAAUACAUAAUAUGCAUCAACUUAAUACAUGUCACAUAGUAGUCAAACUCGUAGGCUUAUUACAAACACUGUGAUCAACAUAGUUAAAUAUUUUACAGUGAUCCAUAGAAGUUAAGAUCUCAUGAUAUCCAAAAGUGACUUUAGUCAAACAUGGCUACUCAAAGAGAGAAGAGUUUCAAGAGUAUAAAAUACACACAGUCCAACUGAAAAUAAUACUCUUAAAAUAAGUCAUCAUACAAACGAGUUAAUCACCAUUCCUGGGUACUCGAGAGGUAGAAGCUUCAUUGAUCACAUCUGGAUGUAAAGCUCUCCAAAUCCUCUCCAUUGGUAGACCCACCAACUCGAAAGUAAGGUACUCCACCUUCGUGCUCACAAGCAAGCCAUCGACCUCAUUUGUAGUGCGAACAAGGCCGGUGUAAACCAGAGUCUCACCUUUCAGCUCUCAAAUUGCCUUACACUGACCAUCCUCAAGAAACUCUAUCUUGCUGUGGCUAAUAGGACCUUCUGGCAACAUCUGCAGCAAACAUCAAACAUUUAUACGUACACAAAUUUUCCAUGUAAUUCAGAAUAGGAGACAAAAAUAUCUUAUACAUAAACUUCAUAAGAUUCACACAACACAUGUAUAAGUUUGUCUUUUGACCUACACGAUCAUUCACAAAUAUACGAAACUUUCGCGUUUAUAUUUUCCUACUUUCAUAUGAGCAAACAAACACAUAACUCGUUCAUUAUCUUUAAAAUUUAGUAGUAAUAAUUGGUCUUACCUCAAAGCUUUUCAAAUUCACUUGACAAAUUACUUUACUCGGCUUCAAUAUCACCUCUUAUCAAAAUAACAAUCUUCAUAAUUCUCUAAAGCUAACAGUGGGGUUGGUUUACUUUAUUGAUCCAAGUAGCUAGACAUUGUUCAUCAACUUUUGUAGAUGGUAUGCAUGUAAAUUUAUAAGAUUUAAGUUUUAAAUUAUUUUUACCUGUCUCUUUACCUAGUCAUUACAGUCCCUCAAAUAUGUUUUUUUUUAUUUAAUUAUUUUGGUCCUCAUAUGUGUCUUCUCUAGUUAAUUUCAACAUCUAUAAUUAAACAAUUUUGAUCUUUACUUUCAAAUCAAAUGGAUGAGAUCAAAAACCGUGUGACGUAGUUACUGUACCAAAUCCGAAUCCGAAAUAUUAACAAUCUUUGAUAUAUAUAGUGAAGGUUUGGAGAAAAUAUUAAAAAAUAAAAAACAAAGUAGCGGUUGAAAUUAGAAAACAAGAGAAAAGACAAGAGAAAAGUCUUAAACUAAUGGAUAAGAAAACAAAUAAAAGUAUAUUUUUUUCCAAGAAAAAUAGGAAAGGAAAAACAAAGUGAGCAGAGCAGUAGUAUGGAAGCUAGUGUAGCAUUUUUACUUUUUACGAGAGGAUCCAUAUAGUAAACUAAGAAGAAGAAAAAAGUGGGAAAAAAAGAGAGGAAAAGAAAGAAACAUAAACAAUAAACUUUAAGGAAGGGAACUAUAAAAAAGAAAGUAAAAAAGAAAAAGACCGAAAGGAAUGGGACAUGAACAUGAAAUGAAAAGGAAAACUAUGAAAGGAUCCAAAUCAAAAAGGAAAAAAGAGUAAGAAAACAGACAUACCUUUGGAUCGGUUGUUGUUUAUUGGUGUGAGAAUGUUGAAAGGUAAAGGCCAUAUUUAUAGCAAAACUAAGUCAUAGUUUCAUUUAGCUCAAAAUAUCUGAGGGACUUCCUUAUUCUUUUUAAUCUGAUAAGAAUUAUAGUAAAAUUUGAGUUGGUAAAGUAUUAAUUGGCUAUCUUAAUUUUUGAAGGGAAUUGGUUAUCUUAAUGUUAAAGGUGGUUUUCUCACCUAAAAGUUAUUUGUAUGUAUUUACAUAAAACUUUUUAGACAUGUUUUCAAUCUAAACAUUUUAAGUUAAUUUUUAAAAUAUUUUUAAAAUAUUUAUAUGACAUGGUUUAAUUAAAUGCAUAUGUAAUAAAUAUAUACAAAUUAAAUCAAUAUUUAAAAUAAUAUUUUACGUAACUUUGCUUAAUUUUUGUAUUAUCCCUUCAAUUUAUUGAAGAAGAGGUUUUAAUAAUCUAAGUUUUAGAUGAAAGGUAAGUAAGUUUCAUCAAGAUUUCUCAAUUCAAAAAUUGAAUUCAAUUUAUUUUAAAUAAUUCGUUCUUGUAUGAAGUUUACUGAUCACUUGAACACAAUCAAUUUGUUAACUUUGCUUAAUAUAAUUAACUCUACAAACCAACUUAGGUUAGUCCAGUGGUAUUGGUUUGGGACCUGGGAGUGUGCUCAUCGUCAAGGUCUUAGACUUGAUUCUCUUUGGUGCCAAUUUAAGUGGGUUAGUUUAGUUUUUUUUAAAAAAAAAAUUAACUCUACAACAUUAUAAUUUAAUUUUUUUAUUGUCGCAUGAUUAAACCAAUACGAGAGUAUUUUGAAAGUUCUAAUGGUAAAAUAACUAAGGAAUCUCUUGAUAUGAUAAAACCUAAGUUCGAACCGUAAUUUCUCUCUUCUCUUCGCAUAAUAUGUGUAAGCUUUGUCAUUAAACUCAUUAAAAUAAACAUAAAAAAUCAUUAAAUUUAUGUAGAAAAAAUCAAUAUAUUCUACUUCAUUGUUUGAUCUCAAAUAUAAAUUACACUCUCUAAUUUUGAAAUAUUAGUAUUAUUUUCACCAAAACACUACUCUUUUUUCAAGAAGUUUUUACUUUUUUUUUUUUUUGGUACACUAUCAGUGUCACACCCAUUUUGUAAUCAUGUUUUCUUUUAUGAAAGAAAUGAUGGCCAAACGUGAAGAGUUAUACAUAAAUCUAUUACGAAGUUAUGCACAAGACUCAAACUUUCUAAAGGGAACAGCAAUUCAUGCGUAUUUCAUCAAAGGGCAUAUCCCAUUUACACUUUUUCUUCAAAACCAUUUACUUAACAUGUAUAUUAAAUGUAAAGAUCUUACUUCUGCACUCCAACUGUUCGAUGAAAUGCCUGAAAGAAAUGUCGUGUCGUGGUCUUCUGUAAUGACGGGUUGCGUCCAUAAUGGCGGUGCUUCCGAUGCUCUUUCGUUAUUUAGUUGUAUGCACCGUGAGGGAUUCGUGAAACCGAAUGAGUUUACGUUUGUUAGUGCUCUUCAAGCUUGUUCGUUAAGCGAAAAUGUGACGCAGGCUUAUCAGAUUUAUUCGUUAGUGGUGAGGUCGGGACUGGAGUGUAAUGUCUUCUUGCUUAACGCGUUUUUGACUGCAUUAGUCAGGAAUGGUAAAUUGACAGAGGCUUUGCAAAUAUUUGAGACAAGUCCUAUUAGGGAUACUGUAACAUGGAAUACUAUGAUGGGGGGUUACUUGGAGUUUUCAUCUGAACAGAUUCCAGUAUUUUGGAGAUACAUGAAUCGUGAGGGUGUAAAGCCGGAUGAGUUCACUUUUGCUAGUGCCUUGACGGGGUUGGCUACGAUCUCCUCUCUUAAAAUGGGAAUGCAAGUUCAUGCACAACUUGUUAGGAGUGGUUAUGGGGAUGACAUUUGUGUAGGGAAUUCUUUAGUUGACAUGUAUUUAAAAAAUCAAAAGUUGGAGGAGGGUUUCAAAGCAUUUGAUGAGAUUCCUCAUAAAGAUGUAUGCUCUUGGACUCAAAUGGCUGAUGGGUGUUUACAGUGGGGGGAGCCAAGGAUGGCACUUGCAGUCAUUGCAAAAAUGAAAAAAAUGGGCGUCAAGCCAAAUAAAUUUACCUUGGCAACUGCUCUAAAUGCUUGUGCCUGUUUAGCUUCAAUGGAGGAAGGGAAACAAUUUCAUGGGUUGAGGAUCAAACUUGGAAGUGACGUUGAUGUUUGUGUUGAUAAUGCUCUUCUUGACAUGUAUGCAAAAUGUGGAUGCAUGGAUAGUGCAUGGACUGUUUUUCGAUCCACGAAUUCUCGUUCAGUUGUCUCAUGGACAACAAUGAUAAUGGCAUGUGCUCAAAAUGGCCAACCCGGAGAAGCUCUUCAAAUUUUUGAUGAAAUGAAGGAAACGAGUGUAGAACCAAAUUACAUCACCUUCAUUUGUGUUCUUUAUGCAUGCAGUCAAGGCGGGUUUGUUGAUGAAGGUUGGAAGUAUCUUUCGUCCAUGGAUAAAGACUAUGGAAUCAUUCCUGGAGAAGAUCACUACAUUUGUAUGGUGAGUAUCCUAGGCCGGGCUGGACUUAUCAAAGAAGCUAAGGAGUUAAUCUUAAGAAUGCCAUUUCACCCUGGUGUUCGGGUUUGGCAAACAUUGCUUAGUGCUUGUCAGAUUCACGGGGAUGUAGAGACUGGGAAACUUGCAGCAGAACAUGCUAUAAAACAUGACAAAAAUGACCCGUCAUCUUAUGUAUUAUUGUCCAACAUGUUGGCUGAAACGAGCAAUUGGGAUUGUGUGGUGAGUCUGAGAGAGCUAAUGGAGACAAGGAAUGUAAAGAAAGUACCAGGAUCCAGUUGGAUUUAAAUAUCAGGAAAACAUGGUUGAAGGUGAAGUUGGUUUAGAAGAUUAUUUCUCCUUCCUUUUGGUGUUUGUGAUCUAUCCAAUGAGCUUAAAUAUGGAGCUGAGAUAUAUACAUAUACAUGCCUCUUCUUCUGAAUGUAGUAUGGGCAUUGAACAAAUAUAAGCUCAAUUUUGUUAGGAUGUUUUCACCUUUUGGAUGUUAUUUUGUCCAUCUUAAUUUUUAUAGCAAUUUUUAUUUUCUGUAUCAUAAGAAUUUCAUCAUUCUUGAUAGUUAGGUUAGAUUGGACAUUCUAAUGGUCAAUUCUGGCGUGUAUUAAUGAGUUAUAAGGACUCAGGUUCUCUACGGUCAGAGUCAAAACACACAAUCACUCAGUCAAGGGGUCUGGACCGUUUAAUGAAGAUCAGACAACUUGUAUUCUAAAUAAACCAUAUUGGAUUUAGAAUGCAUCAGGGAUUGCUGCUUAUGCUUUGCAGGAAUGUGAGAAUUUGAAGAAAGAAGCUUUGGGUUCAAAUUUGGUAAUGUACAUUUGUUUUAGGGCAUUUGGUAACUAACAUGUUUUGUGUCAUUUGAUUUAUUUUUUUUAGUUCAAGAUUUAAAGCCUUAGUGUUGGGACCGAAUGUUAAAUCACUGUUACUAAAAUUAUCCUUGUUCAGUCCAAGAUUUGUAACUGAUUUUUGUUCAUGAUUCCUGAGAAUGAAUUAUGAAGUGAAUAAAAGCUUUGUACUAAUGCAAACUACCACAUGUAAAGCACAAGAUUUGGGGAUGCUUUACUUUUGUGCGGACAUUUUCUUUUCUUUCAGAGAAUGGUGUGUGAAUUCAUUUGAACUUUGCUGUCUUGUUAACUCCUAUGUAUGGUAUAUUGUUCAAGGGAUGCUUGAUGAAGAAGGUUUACAUGUAUAGGCUUUCUCGUUAUGGAUACAUGGUGAAAAUGAUCUGGCUCUCUAUGUAGCUAGAGUCUCUCCGCAACUCUUUCUUCAAUGGGAAAAUACAUGUGGUGGCAUAUGCAGCGGUUUCAUUUUUUGUUUCUUUUUCUACGUGUGUUCUCCUUUUUUAUCUUAUUUAUCGUGAUCCCAACUUGCCGGGCACCCUUGAGGUACAUGAUGGAACUGGUGACUUAAGAGAACUAGAAAUAUAUAUGAUGAUACUCCAACAAAAGUCAUAAUCGAGACCAUUGGCGAUGUAGACGCCUAUCAACUUAAUGAUGCUAAGCCCAAACGUUAUAGCAGGUAUGAAUAUGAGAUAAUUCAUGCUUUUGAAGUUUGUUUGUUGUGGAUUGUUUUUGUUCUUAUGAUAAAUUAUUUUGGUUGCCUCUAAAUUUGCAAUUGUUAACUGAUGUUUUUGUAUUAUAGCUGCAAAUUAUGCUUGCUUUUCAUUUCGUUUGCGGUAUGCUGCGGUUGGUAUCACAGAGGAAGAAAGGCAAAUGAGAUGUGAAGAGAGAUUAUCUACAUGGUAAAGACUCUUAUUCGUGAUCCACACAUGAUACAUGACCAUUUGAUCCACUGCUAUUGAUAAAGCCAAAAAUGCAGUCCGAUCUCAACACAUUUUGUAUGGCAGCAACCUAUUAAGUUAUUAACUACCCUGAAAUGACUUUUUGAAUCCAGAGCGAAUUGAAAUUUUAUCACAGUUGAUUUUCCGUGUUAAAGAUCGUAUUAUACUACAUUUAGUUUUGCUGCUCAGAGAGACUAAUCAACCACAAUGCAAUAUUUGAGACCCUCUCAUAUAUCUUGCAAGUGGGUACCUCGUUUUUAUCCUUGGAUGCCAUUCACUUACGUUAAAAGGAUCAGUAAAUUCUAUUUGCUUCCUGGAAAAUUUGGCGCUGAGACAUUUGCUUUGCACUGAAUUGGAUUCUGAUUCCUGACCUUUGAUACCACUACUCGUUCUUAUUUUUAUUUUUCCCUCAGUUUGAAGGACUUCAAACAAUUUAUUGAUGCAAUGGAAGCAGUUAAGGAUAAAAGGGUUGUGGUUGCAGUGGCAUCUCACGUGCACAUAGAUGUGGCUAACAAGGAACUUUCCAGCUUUUAUCAUGUAAAGAAAUCACUUUAGAUUCAGGAUGCACUUCUCAUAAGUUUGUCCUGCCCAAUACCCCCACCUUAAUAUUUUAGGAUUGCAGAAUGUUAUUCUGAUCCUUAGCCAUGUUUAAACACAAUUAUUUGUUGUGUUAAAGCUUAUUAAGUAAAUAAAGAGAAAUAAGAAAAAGUGCUACUUUUAUUUUCACAAAGAAAUACUAAGAACUAUUCAUGCUCAAUACUAAAAAAAUGUUACAAUUGAUUUUUUUUUUUCAUUAAAAGAAAAAGAAGAUACAAUUGAAUCGAUUCCUUAACAGAUCCUCCGUUCAAAAAUAAAUAACAAUUCUCAACACUUCAUGAUGAAGAAUCAGGUAGAAUUUUUACAAUAAAUUUUAGAAAACAAAAUACUACAUGGAAUAUAGUUCAUGUGAAGCCACCAAGGUCUUAGAAAUCUCAAAUAUAAGCCUAGCCUCAAAUGCAUCACCAGAAUAACCUUUAGAAUUAGACACUUGACGAGCCUUUGGAAUCCGUUUCAUACCAAACUUGUUAUCAGUAUUAAAGGCCCCUCCUACAUUACCAGCCAACUUCAACAUAAAGUUCAUAUACGUAUUCUUGACUUUUGUCAACAAUUUCAAUGGUGAUCUUAUCAUCCAUCUUAGCUUUGGGCUUGUUCUGAUCUUCCAAUCCCUACGUGGACUUCUCAUCCUUAUGAUUUGCAUCUUCUUCCGUCGGCCGGCGGUUGUUGUGCCGUAGUCGAGACGCCGAUAGCCCCGUCUGCUUAAGUACCUUGUUAUUUCCAUGUUUUGAAUUGCUUGAACUUGGAAGUGGUAGUGUAGUGAUGAAUGAGAGGAUGAAGUUUGGGAUGGUUUUCUCACUUUGUGGGAAUGAAUAGAGAUUGUUGCUUGAAUUGACUAUGCUAUGCUUACUGGAUUAUAUAUAAGAGUAAAAUAAAUCAAUAUACCACGUUUAAUUUUAUUUUUUUCGUGAAUUUAUACCACGUUUAAUUUACUCAAAACAUAGGAAGCAGAUACAUAACGUAGUUGUGCAUUAAAAAAGGAUAUAUAAAUGGCUGCUUUUGACAAGUAAAGUCAACAAACAACACUUUGACACAUAAUAUGUGUGAAUGAACAAAUAUGAUGACCAAGACCAACCGUACUUUCAUUCCUUCCUUGAAAUAGCACGUGGGAAAAGUAUUCUCUCUUUAAGAGGAGUGUUAUUUGAACAACCAUUUUGUAGGAUAAUUUGUGGGACAACCAAAAUAUAGAAAGAAAUGU
Molecule: long non-coding RNA, 53049 nt
Filed under: Medicago truncatula (barrel medic)
Lineage: Eukaryota; Viridiplantae; Streptophyta; Magnoliopsida; Fabales; Fabaceae
Description: long non-coding RNA (MTRU_LNC005376)
Source: RNAcentral